RNAcentral lists this long non-coding RNA (62893 nucleotides) under Hordeum vulgare. Its description in RNAcentral is "long non-coding RNA (HVUL_LNC012491)". The stretch from base 54185 to 54308 matches the Rfam family "MIR1120/MIR1122 microRNA precursor family". The record is from RNAcentral. Lineage: Eukaryota; Viridiplantae; Streptophyta; Magnoliopsida; Poales; Poaceae.
CUCCUCCUCCACUUGCGGAUCAUCAUCUUCCUUGGUCUCUUCUUCUUGUUAAAACCUCUAACCAUCAUAGUCUGGAUCAUUGAGGCCAAGCACGUGUGAGUCAUCCAGUUGAUACAUGAAGUUGGCCAUAUCCUCCACACUACAAUCAACAACAACAAGCUCUAAAUCCCAUGCCCGCAAGCCAUCACCAAUAUCUCUACCAAAAUGAAAUGGUAAUUUUUUACCUCUCUGACAUAUAUCAAACGCUUGGCGGCCAUUGCUCUCGACGGUGGCUCUGGCAAACGAGGAGGCGGAGGGGUGGUUGGGGAUGGGCUAAGACCCAUCGGGCGAGGACGGGCAUCCGUUUUAGCACUUUACGGCCUCCCUCGACUUCCUCGCGCACUUGCGGUCAUCAAGAACAAGGGGAGGCGACCUGCCAUCAUCGUGGUCUUUGCGGCCUUGCCAUCGGCCUUUGUUGACGGUUGAUGUCUACUACACAACUUUCUUACUAUAGACUUUGUUGGGCCUCCAAGCCCAGAGUUUCUAGGACAAUAGCAAAUUUUCCUCAUGUGAAUGACCUAAGGUUUAUCAAUGCGAGGGAGGUGUAGAAUGAAGGUGGUUCUUUCUGAAACAAGUCAGCAAUCAAAUACAUGUAAUAUCUUGUGUUCCUGACACACCUAAUACAAAUAUCAGUUGUAUAGGUUCAGUAGUUCGGCGAAGAUAUGGUCAUACAAGUGUAAUAUGGAUCAUAGCAAAAGGAUUUUGUAAUCUGAAUAAAUAAAAACAGCAAGGUAGCAAGCAACAAAAAUAGCUAAAAAUGAUAUUGCAAUGCUUUGAAAGAAGGCCUAGGGUUCAUGCUUUCACUAGUGGAAUCUCUCGACACCGUUAACAUAAUUAAACAUCAUGAUAAUCCCUCAAGUGCGGCAAAGAAUCACUCCGAAGUUUUUCUAUCAGAGAAAGUAGGGUAAAAUCGUGUAGGUAGCAAACCACCUCAAAGUUGUGUUUCCAAUCAAUCUAUUGAACCACCCCCAGAGUGUCACAAAUAGUCCUAGAGAUCUUACUACGACAACACCAUAUGAUACUAUUGUUCAACCUUUAUGCUUAGAGUACCUCAAUGUCACCACAUGUAUUCGCAAGUUAAUUACUAGACAUGCAAAAAGUGAUUUCAAAUCCAAAAUAUUAAAUCCAACAUAAAGAAACUUCAAAGAUCAAGACUCAAUUCACUACAAAAAUAAUACAGGGAUAUGAACAUCAUAAGGUCCAACUUUAUUAAGUGAUCUCAUGAUAGAAUCAAGAUCGAAUCCAUCAAGAACAUGCGAGAGAAAGAGAGAUUGAACACAUAGCUACUAGUACAUACUUUCAGUCUUGAGGAUGAACUACUCACACAUCACCAUGUAGGUAGCAAGGGUUGAUGAAGAUGCCUCUUGUGGUGGCUUUCUUCUUUCGAAGAGUGACGGAGAUGGCUUUUCGAUGAGAUCGCUUCAUAAUAGAGGCUUGCAGUGGUGAUAACAUUUUUUCAGAUUCGCUUCUAAGUGUUUCGGCAUAUAUACGUCAAACAAAGGCUCACGGGCCCCAGAUGGGCAUGUAGCAUGGCCACCACAUUGGUGCGCAACUAGACCACGCGGCUGCCUCGUGGGUUCCCUCGACCUCCCCCAAAUCAUAUAGGUCUCUUAUUGUCCAAAAAAAUUGUCAAAAAGUUUCAUCAUGUUUGGAACUUCCUAGGUAUGGGUUUUCUGCGAAACCAAAAACAAACAAAAAUAGAAACUGACAUCGGGCACUAAACUAAUAAUUUAGUACAGAAUUUAGUACAAAAAAUAGUAUAAAAGUGCACCAAAAUCAUAUAUAAUUAAUGUAAAUAUAGCAUGAAUACUUAAUAAAUUUUAGAUACGUUGGAGAAGUAUCAAUGUCAUGGCGGCUCACACCAAUUUUCUUGUCCCCGACCUCUUUCCUCGCAUAGGCGGUGGAACAGGGGUCGAUUACGACCGCGUCACGCCCGACGAAAUGAAGGAGCCUAUCGAUUCCAUUUAGGAGGAAUCGGGGGUUGUGGUGGUGGAAAUGGCGAGCUUUGGAGACGAUGGCAAGAAACGGUGACGGCUAGGGCAGGGACCAGCAAAAAAAUAUCAUGAGAAGUGGCGCUGAAGGAGUAAAAAUGAGAGAUUGGACUACUUCAGGGGGACCCUUAAUUUUGUACUCGACAGUUUAAGAGUUCGGUUAGGUGUGACUAGUGAUCAUAUUUACUCCUCUAGAAUUUUUGAAGAGAUCGGUUAGCCAUGCUCUUGUUGGGUUUAGUCAUACAUCAGUUAUGGGAGGAGACAGAACACACUAAGGAUGGAUGUGCCUCCUCCUAAAAGGCGAGUCGUUUCAAGGAGAGGGACUAAGGCCUCUCAUAAGUCUGUGUUGCUUCCCAGCUGUGUCUUGUUGAAUCAUGUGUGCCGAACACGCUGGUGUUAGCUGACCAGGAUUAUGUAACAAUUGGUAUUGGAGCACAUGUGCCCGGAAUAUAUCUUGAUGGACUCAGAGGUGGUCGUUCAUGGUUGGUGGGUUGAAAACGGUUGUGUUUGCACGCCCAUUGUGACCGAUGUGUGAGGAAAACAUUGUUGGGUUUAGUCCCCCUUUGGCUGUUGGAGGAGACAAAACAUCAUAAGCCCCCUCCUAAAAGGCUAAUCUUUUGGGGCAGAGGGCGUAAGGCCUCUCAUGUGUGUUUGUUGCUCUCCGGUUAGGCUUGGUUGACAUAUAUAGGCGAGAAACGCUAGUGUUAACAGACUCGGGGUUGUAUAACAACUCUAAUCAAGUCAAAAUCGGGCCGUUCGAUUGUUAACACUCACUCUGUUGCAAUAUCAUUUGUUCAUGAUUAUCAUUUAUUUCUCUACUAUUUAUGUAUGCAGAAGGUUGUGAUGAUUCCAUUACUAUAUUAUUUUAUGCUAUCAGUGUUAUAUUUAACAAAUAAUUUCGUAGCUUGGAACCUGUCUAAUCAUUUAUCCUCUAAGAUUGUAUAGAGUAUCUAAGAGCAUAAGAUGGGUGAGAUAUCUUGUAUGCCCAUCAUGGAUGAGUGCCGUUAGUUUGGACUUUGGGGGUUUGGGAACUUAUAAUUAACCAUUACAAUCAGAAUAUAUAGACCCCUAUAUAUUAAUUGUAUGUUUCUUUUUUUAGUAUUGCUUCUAGGUAUCUGAUAGGCAUCUUCGAUAGUUGCUGUAUUUCUUGGCGAAGCAUUGCAUCAAAGGUUUUCCUAGAGAUCUCUAGCAUUUCACUGUUGCUAUUAUCUGUAGACACUACCAUCCUACCCCGAGUCAACCCUACAAUGCUAUAAUUUCUGCUGUCAGGUCAUACCGGCGGGAGUAAACUCUCCUUCGUAAGUACUCCUGUAAGAAUUGAAAUAAAGAUGCAAUAGGGUCAUAAAAGCUUGCUCGUGUUUGGUUGAGAUGUCAUUUCACAUCAAAGAGGAGUUAAUGGACUGCAGGAUUUUAUUGAAGAGCGAAGGGCAUUGAGUAUAGAUGGGUACGGCCCCGCCGCUCAGUUAAAGACACCAUUUACCUAAAGUGGCGCAUCUCCUAUUUAAGAUCCAUUUACUCACAUAACCAGUGGCACAUUGAUGCACAUGCACUACACUUAUUUUGGCUCGAUGGAACCCUUCAUGCAGCUGCGCAUCAGUAAAGUGCCUUCAAGAUGUUGACACUGCGCACAUAGCUAGUAUUGCCAACAGCAUGGUGUUGGCACUUGGCAGCUUCGCCAUGAAUACACACGGAGGGCAACCACGGAAAUACGAGUAAAAUUGGCCUUACAAAUGUGUCUAGGUUCCCAUCUUAUAGAUUUCCCCUGUUUUCUUGUACAAAAGUUGUUAUAAGUUCAGGAAAUAUGAUUGUUUUUGAAGUAUGCAUUUUUUUUAAACUAACUUUAUGAUGUGCAUCACAAGAAGAGACUAAGGUUGGAGGGAUGUGGAAGGAAGUGAAGAGAGGAAGAGGACGGAGGGUCCUUGCUGUUGCAUUAAUAGCAAGUAAAGAGAAGCAUUGACCUCUCCUCCAUACUUGAGAAACCCCUCCUAUAUAAUGACCUUCGGACCUUUCAAAGUCCUCAAACAAAUACACAUCGCAGCAGUUGCGCAAGUCUUUUCUCCCCCUCUCCUCUUCUCUUCACGAGAUUCAGGUAGCAACUCUGCUUUUCCUUGUGUUCUUCCUCAUGUAUGUUAUGCAGCAGUACUUCUAUUUCGCUCACCAAAAGAGGAAAUUUAUUUUGUUAUCUAAUAUAUUCUUAUUUGUGCAGUGUGAUUGUCUGUGAGUCAUGGACCGCAGCAAUGGCAACGGCGGCGUGAGGAACGGCGCGAGGCUGGAGCUGCAGCUGAAUCUGUCGCCGCCGGUGGGGAUGGAGGUGAACGGCCAUGACGACAGCGGCUCGUCGUCGCCAAGCUCCUGCGUGUCGUCGGACGGCAGCCCUGGAAGCAAGUCGCCGAUGGUGAUCGGGGCCUGCACCCGGUGCCUCAUGUACUGCAUGGUGGCCAAGAAAGAUUACCCCACCUGCAUCAACUGCAAGCAGCCCUGCCUCGUGGACCUGCUCCAGAACGGAGGCGCCGGUGCGGGCGCCUCCGCGGACGGCGACAAGAAGCGCGGCAAGCGCAAGUGAAGAAAUAUCAACGGUGCGGGCGCGUGCCCGUCCAGUGGAUGCUCAUACGGAUGGUUAGCUCGAUCAGGCAAUGAGCGAAUCUUGAGCCUGGAGGAGUGAGUGACCGCCGUCGGAUCAUCCACUGUACAGGGUUGGGUCUCUUGAGUAACAGGCUACUUAGCUUAAGUAGUUACUUUCUUUUAUGUUGCUGGGUUGCAAUGGGUUGGUUAGUUUAAUUAGCAUUAUGGCUAGUUUUCGAUUGAUUUUGUUGUAGCAGUGGUCUUCUAAGUUUGUAGUGCCCUGUUUGGCUGAAGAAAUGCAAGACCUAACUAACGGUAUGCAGCAGCUAAGCUAGCGAUGGUUGUUUCCAAUAAUUUCUAGUCAGCUGUGUUUUCUCCACAUAAUUUCUUUUUACUUCAAAGACUUCAUUUAAUUAAGAUUCAAGCGGCAGCCCGCUUAUCCCGCGAAACACAACCAUUACUAGCUAUAAUAAAGUGCCAAGUUAACACCAAUUUUGUACUGUGAUCGAUACUGUCCGCGAAACCCGUUUCCGUGCGCUUGCAUCCUGAGGUGCGAUGGUUCGAACCGAAGGACGAUGUUGUGUUCCUUCUCCCCAUAGGUGUACCUAAUGCAAGGUUCAUUUUUGACGGCGACUAUGUCUCUGUUGUGUCCUUGAUUUUUGUGAUCCUAAUAUGGAGUGUUCCGUCUCUAACAAGUUAUAAUCUGUAUUGUCAUUUCUGUAGUUGCUUUUGAAGGCUGUAGUUCAUGUUUGCUUUUCAGUGAUCCCCACUAUACCAGUUUGGUCGUUGUAAUUUGGAUGUGUUGUAAUUCAAAGUCGGACUCGAGCCAUCAUUCUAAAAAAAGUACUUGAGCCUUGCAUAACUCUAUUCGUCGUCCAGUAAAACUACUUCAGAUGCCGUGAGCACUAUCCGAUCGAGAACCUACGACUCAGAUCGACUGUCGGGUGAGGCAUGGACUGUCUAAACACAGCAGGAUCGAUCUCUACAAAGUACAGGUACCGGUGCUCCCUGCGGGACUGACACACACGCUAAAGAAAGCAAAGGAUGGAUCAACAAGAGCAUCAUGACCCAAUUAUAUACGACACACACAUCUCUGCGCGCUAGAGUUGCACUUCAAGUGCUUCUACACAAAGGUCGGGUGCAUGUCUUGGAAGAAAUAGAUCCUACACACGCAACCCCAUGGGUUUCUUCAGGCACGGUCUGAUCAAAAGGGAGAUUAAGAAAAAGACUGACAUAUCCUAAAACCUCUCCAUCGGCAUGAGAAUUCAGCUGUCGUGGAAGGUAGCUAGUUCGGUUGAAGACUUGAAUUCGACACAUAGAGAUAGUAACAAAUUCACAUGAAUGCAUGCAGUUGGGGCAUUGCAUGCAGUAAUGGCAUGCGGUGCAAUGCAAUGCAAUUCAGUGCAACUUAGCUCCUCGCAGGGCCGGAUGGAUUUCGCCAAGAGACGUUGGUAGUAGUGGUAUUGGAGGGUAAGGAGGAGAGUACGUACUCCUUAGCUGGCUCUAUUUAUUUCAGCAUCUCUAGGUGCACCUCGUCGUUUGCGAUUUCUACGUGAUUACAAAUGCAUCAUAAUGUCCAAGUGGACGGACACACAUAUGCAUCGCCUGCAUGCAUAUGCACUUCCCCCAUCCGCAUGCACGCGCUAAGCUAUAGCCAUAUAGCCAUUUGCGGUUUAAAGGCACCUACAGAGUUAUUUUGUAAUGGCUUCUCCUCUGCUGCCUGCCCCUCACUGGAGACAUCAUCAUAAUUAAUCACAUCAUUGUAAAAGGACCAAUCAAUGGUAUAUGUAUAGCAGUCUAGCAGAUGUACCGCAAGAAACCGUGAGAAGCUAGAAGGGUAGAGCAUCUCCAGCAGAUUUGCCAAGUUUUGUUACCUACAAUCUGUUUUAGGUAAUAGGAGAAACAAUAAGUUGGGAAGAAUAUUCCUUUUGUGCAAAUACACUCAAGAUUAUCUCUAAGUUUAUCAUAUAAUAGUUCAAUGUAUGCCACAACAAACUAUAUGAAAUUUAAAUUCAAAUUCAAACAUAAAACAUAAUGGAGCAUAACACAAAGCAUACUUUAAAAUAAAAGACGACGCUUGUCUAAGAGGGCAAAGGCAUCUAAACAUAAAAAUGGUUCAUCAUGAGAGGUAUAUUUUGGAAUAGCACAGGUCUUGAUGACUUGGCUAAACACGAACAUAUUGCCGAUUGUGUAAGGGAUCAUGCGUUGGACUUUGUGGCCAUCACCUAGUCGGGUAAACGUGAUUUCCAAAUACGUGAUCUUGACCACUUUUCAUGUGGUUAUGAUUAUGUAUGGCAUGUCUUACCCAAGUCUAGAAGGUCGGGUGGACUUUUGCUUGGCAUCCACUCGACAUACCUGGAACUUUUGUCCACAUAGAAGGGUGAAUAUCACAUCAAAUUUCACCUUCGAAACAAGUCCGACAACUUCCUUUGGAGCAUGGUGGCCAUAUAUGGCGCCACUCAAGAGGAGUUUAAGUCCGCUUUUCUUAAGGAACUUGUUAAUACCUAUCGGGAUAAUCCUCACCCCAUGUUAGUUCAGAGGGGGGGAUUUCAAUAUCCUUUGAUAACAGCAGGGAAAAAAUAAUGAUUGGUUUGAUAGUAGACGGCCUUUCCUUUUCAAUGAUGUCAUUGACAACUUGGACCCGCGGGAGCUCACUAUGUCUGGUCGUCACUACACGUGAGACAAUACUCGAUGUAUUCCAACUUAUGAAAAACUUGACCGGGUGCUAGUAACCAUCGACUCGGAAUAUAAAUAUCCCCUUGCCUUGGUUCGUGCGCUAGAAAUAAAUGAGGCCUUAUCAGAUCAUGCUCCAUUACUAACUGAUUUUGGCCAAACUACUCCAAGCUCUAGGACUCCACAGUUUAAAUUCAAACUGGGAUGGAUCACUAGAGAAAGAUUUCAUGCCCUGGUUAAGAAGGUGUGGGAGCAUCAACAUAGGGGUAACACACCCAUUCAACGAUGGGACAAUCAAAUCCGUGCAUUGCAUGGACUCCUUCGUGGAUGGGCUAGACAUGCCGCUAGCAUAUACAAAAAAGAAAAGGUGAACUGUCUACAUUAAUUGAUACCAUUGAUACAACUACGGACAUGAGGCCCCUUUUGUUGUUGAGAUUGAGCAAAAAAGUCGUCUAAAUGAGUAGAUUGUUCGCCUUUUAUGCGAGGAAGAGAUUAAAUGGUACCAACGAUGCAAGGCCGACUCGCUUGUUCAAAGGGAUGACAAUAUGAAAUACUUUCAAAUGUUGGCAAAUGGCGGACAUAGAAGGAAACGUAUUUUUGCACUUGACCAUGACAAAAGUCGUAUCGAGGGCGAUGUACCGCUUAGAAACUUCAUUACUAAGUACUACAAACACUUGUGCAGAAAAUCCUAGCUAAGGUGUGGCAAAAAGGGACCUGCUCGUGUGGACACCCGACACCACCAAUAUGGUGCCACUUUUAAAAUAUAGUGGUGGUGUUGGAGACUACGCUAGAAGUAUUUUGAGUACCUAUGGCGUUCGAGAGAGUUGCACGUUGGAACUAUAAUAUUUAGCUAAUAAAAAAUACUACCAGCUUCACAAACUAAAAGUUUCAGCAAUUCACAAAAUAGUACCGGCUAGCUUCAGAAACUAAACAUAAUGUACCAAAUUCACAAAAGAGAAGUAGCAACUUCACAUGUAUCUAGCUAUGUCCCCCCUCUCGACACUAACUACAUUCCUCUAAGGACUAACUUAAGCUCACGAAGCUUAUUCCUAUUCAUCUGCCCCUCUAUGAUGUAAUGUUCUUUCUCCGCCUUCAGAUGAGUCUUCUCCUUUUUUGAUACUUGUAUUUCCUUCUUGAGCUCUGUUAUCUCGAGGUUCAGCAAGUCGACCUGACAUUCUAGAUUCAAAAUCUUGUGGUAGACAAUGUAUUUGUCGUUAAUAACCUUGUCCUUCUCCUUCUUCAGUGAGUCAUUCAACUCCUGCAAGGCCUUCAUGGUAGACUGACGUGCCACGGUCAACUUGUGAUUGAGCAUGUCCCUGUCACAUGUCUCCUGCACAAUGAGUGCUGGAGAAGGCGGACCAGCUAGUAUGUAUGUCUGGCAAGGGUUUCAAAUCAUCAAUAAUUAAUUAAUGGUUAGAUUUAUGGAUGUUUGCAAUGCUAGAACAUGCAUGUUUUUUGUAACCAUAAUUACCUGGUUGGUGCUCACAUCGCCUUUCUCUAAGCCAUACCCAGGCCAACGGUUAGAGGAGUCUAUCCACAAACUAGAGUCAGCCAUGCUACCAAACACAUAAACAUGAGAUAAAUUAAAUAAUAACGAAUUACGAGUGUGCUACCAAACACAUAUAUAUGCUACCAAACACAUAUGAAAAACUAAUUAUAAGUGUGCUCAUGACCCAUAUAUGUAACCUCAGCCUCCUAGGAGGAUUGUUGAGAAAUGGCGCGCCACAAGCAAGAGUUGUGGCUAGCCAUUUCUCCACUAGUGAAAGUGAUUUUUGGUCCUUCAGCUGAAAGUUCCUUUGCCCUGGAUGAGUCUAAUACUCAUGAAAUCCCUCAAGUUUCCGAGGCGGAAAAUGAUUUUAAGCCUCUCCGUUCACUGAGGAGGAAAUUCACACUGUUGUAUUUCAAAUGGAACACAACAAGGCCCUGGUCCACACGGUUUUUCGGUGAAGUUUUAUCAAUGUUUUUGGGAUAUGAUUAAGGUGGACUUGGUUGAGUUUUUUAACCAAAUACAUAUCAAAAACCUUGACAUUGCCCGUUUAAAUUUUGGGAAAAUUAUUCAACUGCCCAAGACUAAGGAGGCUAGUAGUAUUCAACGACCGAUUUGCCUCCUAAAUGUCAGCUUUAAAAUCUUUACAAAGGUUGCAACAAAUCGGUUGAAUGGGGUGACUGAACAUGUGGUCAAACCCACUCAAGCGGCAAUUAUGCAGGGAUGCAACAUACUAGAUGGAGUGGUUGUGUUGCACAAAUACGUACAUGAGCUUCAUCAUAAAAAGUUGAGCGGAGUCAUCCUAAAAAUUGACAUCGAAAAUGUCUAUGAUAAAGUAAAGUGGCCCUUUCUCUUGCAAACUUUAUGCAUGAAGGGGGUUUUUGCCAAAAUGGUGUCGAUGGGCGGAGAGUUUUAUUUCUGGAGGUAGUGUGCUAUCAAAGUCAAUGAUGAUGUUGUCAAAUAUUUUUUGAACAAGAAGGUUCUUUGCCAAGGGGACCCCAUAUCCCCUAUUUUUGUUCAACAUCGUGGCCGAUAUGUUAGCUAUCCUUAUUGAGAGGGCUAAGGUGGCCGAUCAGAUUAGUGGUGUGAUACGUCUCCAACGUAUCUAUAAUUUUUUAUGGUUCCAUGGUAUUAUCUUGUCAAACUUUGGAUGUUUCGUAUGGCUUUUAUAUCUUUUUUGGGACUAACUUAUUAACUCAGUGCCAAGUGCCAGUUCCUGUUUUUUCGUGUUUUUGACCCUUUUCAGAGGAUAAUAUUAAACGGAGUCCAAACGGAAUAAAACCUCUGAAAAGAUUUUUUUUCUGCAACAGAAGAUAUGCACGGAGCUUGAGAACCAAGGCAGACGGCACUAGGGAGGCCACAAGCCCCCUAGCCGCGGCCUGGGGGCGCGCCUAGCAGGCUGGUGGGCCCCCUGUGGCUCCUCUGCCCUACUUCUUCCGCCUAUAAAUCCUCGAAAAAUCCAAAACCACAGAAGAGAGCCACGAAAAUACUUUUCCGUCUCCGCAACAUCCCAUCUAGGGCACAUUCUGGUGCCCUGCCAGAGGGGGGGAUUCGGACACGGAGGGCUUCUUCAUCAACACCAUUUCCUCUCCGAUGAUGCAUGAGUAGUUCACCAUAGACCUUCAGGUCCAUAGCUAGUAGCUAGAUGGCUUCUUCUCUCUCUUGGAUCUUCAAUACAAAGUUCUCCAUGAUCUUCAUGGAGAUCUAUCCGAUGUAAUCUUCUUUUGCGGUGUGUUUGUCAAGAUCCGAUGAAUUGUGGAUUUAUGAUCAGAUUAUCUAUGAAUCUUAUUUGAGUUUCUUCUGAUCUCUUAUAUGCAUGAUUUCAUAUCCUUGUAAUUCCCUUCGAGUUGUGGGUUUUGUUUGGCCAACUUGAUCUAUGAUUCUUGCAAUAGGAGAAGUGCUUGGUUUUGGGUUCAUACCGUGCGGUGACCUCACCCAGUGACAGAAGGGGUAGUGAUGCACGCAUCAUGUUGUUGCCAUCAAGGGUAAAAAGAUGGGGUUUAUAUCUAUUGCAUGAAUUUAUCCCUCUACAUCAUGUCAUCUUGCUUAAGGCGUUACUCUGUUUCUCAUGAACUCAAUACACUAGAUGCAUGCUGGAUAGCGGUCGAUGUGUGGAGUAAUAGUAGUAGAUGCAGAAAGUAUCGGUCUACUUGUCUCGGACGUGAUGCCUAUAUGUACGAUCAUUGCCUUAGAUAUCGUCAUUACUUUGCGCGGUUCUAUCAAUUGCUCGACAGUAAUUCGUUCACCCACCGUAAUAUUUGUUAUCAUGAGAGAAGCCUCUAGUGAACACUAUGGCCCCCGGGUCUACAUCACACCAUAUUUUCAGCCCUACACUUUUACUUUGUUGCACUUUCCGCCUUCAAAUCUCACCUUGCAAUCAAUCAUGAAGGGAUUGACAACCCUUUUGUAGCGUUGGUUGCAAGUUUGUUGUUUUUGCGCAGGUACAGUGGAGACUUGGCUUGAUACUCAUAGUGGAUUGAUACCUUGGUUCUCAAACUGAGGGAAAUACUUACUGCUACUGUGCUGCAUCACCCUUUCCUCUUCAAGGGAAAAAAACAACGCAAGCUUAAGAGGUAGCAAGAAGAAUUUCUGGCGCCGUUGCCGGGGAGCAUCAAGUGAAGCUUAUCCAAGUAACCGUCGCAAACUCUUCUCUUGCAUUUACUUUUGUUGCCUCUCGUUUUCCUCUCCUCCACUUCUGAAAAACAAAAAUUUACAAAAAUAUUUUCCUUUUUCGUUCGUCCUUUUCUUUUCCUUGCUUUCUCUUCGCGUGUGUGCUUGUCUGCUUGUUGAAGUCACCAUGACUAAAAACAUCAAACUUUGUGACUUCUCGAAUACUAAUAAUAAUGAUUUUAUUAGUACUCCGAUUGCUCCCGCCACUAGUGCGGAAUCAUAUGAAAUCAAUGCUGCUUUGCUGAAUCUUGUUAUGAAAGAGCAAUUCUCUGGCCUUCCUAGUGAAGAUGCUGCAUCCCAUCUUAAUACCUUCAUUGAGUUAUGCGAUAUGCAAAAGAAGAAAGAUGUGGCUAAUGAUGUGAUUAAAUUGAAGCUAUUUCCGUUCUCAUUGCGAGAUCAAGCAAAAACUUGGUUUUCAUCUUUGCCCAAAAAUAGUAUUGAUUCUUGGAACAAGUGCAAAGAUGCUUAUAUAUCCAAGUAUUUUCCACCGGCUAAGAUUAUCUCUCUCCGUAAUGAUAUCAUGAAUUUUAAGAAACUAGAUCAUGAACAUGUUGCACAAUCUUGGGAGAGAAGGAAAUUGAUGAUUAGAAAUUGUCCCGCUCAUGGCUUGAGUCUUUGGAUGAUUAUACAAAUCUUCUAUGUUGGUUUGAAUUUUGCUUCUAGAAAUAUCUUGGACUCCGCCUCCGGUGGAACUUUCAUGGAAAUCACAUUAGGAGAAGCCACAAAACUCCUAGACAAUAUCAUGACAAACUAUUCUCAGUGGCACACUGAAAGGUCACCUACUAGUAAAAGGUACACGCUAUAGAAGAAAUUAACUCGUUCAGUGCUAAGAUGGAUGAGUUAAUGAAAUUGUUUGCUAGUAAAGGUUUUCCUUUAGAUCCAAAUGAUAUGCCCUUGUCUUCCUUGAUUGAGAGUAGCAAUGAAAGCUUGGAUGUUAAUUUUGUUGGUAGGAAUAAUUUUGGCAACAACAAUGCUCUUAGAGGAAACUACAUUCCUAUGACUUUUCCUAGUAAUCCCUCUAAUAACUUUGGCAACUCCUACGACAGUGCUCAUGGAAAUUACAAUAAAUUCCCUCUGGUCGAGAGAGUAAUAUUAAAGAGUUUAUCAACUCGCAAAAGAUUUUCAGUGCGUCCAUAGAAGAAAAACUACUCAAAAUUGAUGAUUUGGCUAAGACACUUGGCUUGAUACUCCUACUGGAUUGAUACCUUGGUUCUCAAACUGAGGAAAAUACUUACUGCUACUAUGCUGCAUCACCCUUUCCUCUUCAAGGGAAAAAAACCAAUGCAUGCUCAAGAGGUAGCAUGGUGUUGUUCCUCAUUUGGUAGAAGAAGGUCUGUCUAUAUUAGAAUAUGCAAAUGACAUUAUUCUUUUUAUGGAUAAUGACCUUGAUAAAGCAAGAAACCUCAAGCUGAUUUUAUGCACAUUUGAGGAGCUCCCUGGUCUCAAAAUGAAUUUUCAUAAAAGUGAGCUUUUUUGCUUUGGUGAUGCUGCAGAGUUAGUAGUUGAGUAUGCUGAAAUUUUUGGCUACCAUCUCACGCAGUUUCCGAUUAGAUAUCUCGGUGUUUCAAUUCACUAUCGGCGCUUAACUAUGUUGAGUGGAAGUAUGUGGAAGAGAGACUUGAUAAACGACUAGCUAGAUGGAAGGCCAGACUCUUGUCAUAUGAAGGGAGAUUGAUUUUGAUCAAUUCUUUCCUUAGAAAUAUGGUCUAUACGUGUUGUCUUUUUUCCACUUACCAAGAGGGGUUCUUCAGCAUCUAGAUUACUUUAGAUCCCGAUUUUUUGGCAAUGUGAUAAUGAGUCCAAGAAAUAUCGGCUAGCUAGUGAGCUAAGGAAUUCAAGAUCUUGAGAUUAAGAGCAUCGCUCUUAUGAGUAAAUAGGUUUACAAAUUAUUCACUGGAAAUGGAGUGUGGCAGGAAAUCAUUGUAACAAAUACGUGGGGUCCAAAGCCAUUUCUCAAGUUCCUUGGAAACACGGUGAUUCACAUUUUUUGUAUGGUGUCAUGAAGGCCAAUGAUUGUUUUCUUCAGUUUGGCACUUUCUGGGUUAGUGAUGGUUCUCAAGUUUGAUUCCGUGAAGAUACGUGGCUAGGGACCACCCCACUUAUGGUGUAGUAACCUAGCUUGUACAAGAUUGUCAUGCAUAAGUUUGUUACGAUCAAACAAGUUUUGGGACAAUAAAACCCUCGUAUUUCUUUUUGUAGGGAUCUCUUGUAUCCUCGCUUGGUAGCAUGGAAUGAAUUACUCUCUCAUCUGGAGGACAUUCAAGUGACAGUUGAGCUGCACAAGUUUCGAUGGAAGCUGCAUCAGAAUGGUUGUUUCUGAGUCAAGUCAUUGUACGAUGCAAUGGUUCAUAGCAAUGUUCCCCCUGAUAACAAAAAAAUGUGGAAGCUAAGAUUUCCUAUAAGAGUGAAGAUAUUUCUCAGGUUUUUAAGUAGAGGGGUUAUCUUAAAUAGAGAGAACGUGUCACCACGUAACUGGCAAGGUAGUAAGACAUGUGUCUUUUGCCAAAAUGACGAGUCUAUUAAACACUUAUUUUUUGAGUGCGUGUUCACUCGGGCAGUAUGGGCCAUUGUUCAAGUAGCUUCAAACCUAUACCCCCCACAUAGUGCACGUAACAUUGAUACUUGCGAUCUGCGUUGGAUUUUCCGUGAAGAGGAACAAGUAAUUUCCACACAAUAUGGGUAAGUAUUUCCCUCGGUUAUCAAACGAAGGUUUAUCGAACCAAUAGGAAUAUGAAUCUGCAACCCUCUAGCUCCACACAAAAGAGCAAACAACUUGCACCCAACGCGGGCAAGAGGGUUGCCAAUCCCCUUUAUCUCGUUAUUCGCAAGAGAGUGCGGUGUGUAGAUAAUUGUAGAGAAUUGUAACUUGCAAAAUAAAAUAAAAGAGAAAUAAGAACGGCAAGGAACUUAUAAGUUCUGAAUAUAUAAGUAAAUAGACCAGGGGCCAUAGUGUUCUCUAGUGACAUCACUCAUGAAAGCAACAUAUGGUGGGUAAACAAAUUAUUGUUGAGCAAUUGACAGAACAUUAUAUAGUUAUGCGAUUUUCACGGCAAUGAUCAUGUGUAUAUAGGCAUCACGUUCAUAAGCAAAUACAUUGACUCCUGCGUGCACCUACUACUAUUACUCCAUUUCAAGAGCGCUUCUACGCUUGCCUCCCUAAGUGUUAAAGUCAUGACAACCAUAGUAAUGCUUGGAGAACAAAGACAUGAUGUAGAUAAAGUAAACUCAACAAAUAUGAAUAAACCCCAUCGUUUUAUACUUAGUGGUAACAACACAAAGUUGCAUCUUGUCCCCUUCUGUCACUGGGAUAUAGAAACUCGCUAGGUUGAACUCAUCACAAAACACCCCUCUCAUUGAAGAAAUACGAAACUACUUGGCCAAAGAAAUUCAAUAGAUCGAAGAGAAUUACGAAGCUAUGAUGAUCAUGCAAAGAAGAAUCAUAAAACUCAGAGAAGAAUCAAAUAUUUUUCAUGAAUAAUCUGAAUGUAAACCCAAAAAUGCAUGGGAUCCCAACAAACACACCGUACAAAAAAAUUAUAUCGGAUUGAUAAAAGCGAAGAUGCAAUGAUCAUUGUAUUGAAGAUCUAGAGUGUAACACCCCGAUAUUCAUGCUACGGUAAUCUCCCCCUGAUGGUCCAUGUCAUCACCUUUUUGCUAAUCUAAUUGUCCCUUGAUCAAAAUUCAAGUCAAACUCAAAUUUAAGAUAAAGUGAAAAACUAAUAUUUAUUCAAACAACAAAAUAAAAAUAUUCUAUAUAUUGCAAAUAUUCACCAACUAAUUUUUAUGAAGAAACCAACAUAAUUUGAAUUCCCCAAUGGCCCCUAGAAAUAUUUAAAGUGACCCAACAAUACUAAAUUUGGCCAUUUUGAAGUAAACAUAUAUUUAUGCUUUUCGAAAAUAUGUGAAAUUUAUGGACAGCUCCAAAAUAUUGCAUAGUAAUUAUGAGACAAUUUUCAUGUUUAACAAAACUCAAUUUUUGUAAAAGAAAAAUGCAAAACAUUAAUUGAAAAAAGAAACACAAACUAAUAGACAUAGAAAGGUAAAAGAAAAAUAGAAAAGGGGCACUAUGCACUUUGGCCCACUUAACAAUAGUGCAGUCGAGCCCAACCUGGGCCUUCUUCCUCCUGGCUACAGGAGCAGACGGAGGGAAUUCCCUAUAUGUUGCUCACUACGACAAGUAGUCGGCGCUUUGCACAGGAGGUACAAACAAGCGACAGAGUUUGGGCCGGACCGUUAACGGUUUUCACCGUUUUUUUCUGGUUUUGAGAACUUUCUAGAAGAUUACCUAAAUCGUUUUUUUUUCUUUUUUCUUUUGUUUCUUUUUUUGUUCCUGCUUUAAAAAUGUUCUCGAUUUUUAAAAAUGAUUCGGAAUUUGAAUUGUUUUUCCAAAAUUUGUAAAAAUGUUCUAGAAUUUUUAAAAAAGUUCCGGAAUUUGAAAAAAUAUUCUAUAAUUUGUAAAAAUAUUCCAGAAUUUGAAAAAAUAUUCCCGAAUUUGAAAAAUGUUGUGGAAUUUGAAAAAAUGUUCCCNNNNNNNNNNNNNNNNNNNNNNNNNNNNNNNNNNNNNNNNNNNNNNNNNNNNNNUUUGCAGUUGUUUCCGGAAUUUAAAAAAAUGUUCCAGAAUUUGAAAAAUGUUUGGGAUUUGAAAAAAUGUUUCCACUUUCAAAUGUUUUGCACAAAGAAACGUGAAUAUUUGUCGCCGACUCAACAAAUGUUGUGGAAUUUCAAAAAAUGUUCUAGAUUUCCAAAUUUGUUUAUAAUUCUAAAAAUUUCAUGUUUUAAAAAAAAAUCGCAAAUUCAAAAAAAUUGUGUUUUGGAAAAAAAAAUCUGCGUUUCGAAAAAUGUUCGUGUUUUUCAGACAAUUUUUUGGGACAUUUGGAAUACAGUUUGUAUUUAAAAAAUGUAGUUGGUUUUACAUUUUGUUCAAUUGUUCUGUCGUUGUCUUCCUUUUUUUCAAAUAUUGCACGGCAAAGAGGGCACAAGAGCUUGGUUGUUGCUGUGGCUAGCGCAUCACGCGCAUGACUUAGAAUUAUAGGGUUCGAAUGCUAGGGUGUUUUACUGUUUUUUGACCUCGUGAUCAUGAAUUGGGCCGACCCAGGCGAGCCGCCCCUUUGCGAAACGCCAACUCCUUGACGCAAAGAUUUCACAUAGGAGGUCAUCAGAGGGAGGGUUUGUCGGCAAUCCACCGCGCCAUAGCCGGCGAUGCCUCUAUGGCGGCCAUCCGGCGCACACCCCAGUCUAUAAGGCCAUCCGUCGCCCCCACAGUCGAACCCUAGCCCCGGAUCCCCUCGCCUCCUUCCUCUCCGCCGCCCUGGACGCUGACCCACCCCGGCGCCUCGGUCGCCGCUGCCCACGUCGACGUGCCGCCUCACCGCGGACUUCGUCGAGCCUCAUUGCCCCCUCGUCUACAGCGGAGGGUGAGCUCCCCUCUCUCUGUGUCCCUGCCACCCCGCUCGUCCCCAUGGCCGCACCGGUCGCGCCCACACCCGCUCAUGCGGCCGCUGCCGCCUGCUCCCAUGCGCUGCACUCUGUAGCGUCCGUCCGCGUGCACGCUCGUGCGCCCUUGACCACUGCUGCCCGCUGCUCUGCUACUUAUUGUUAUUGCUCGACUGCUGCUGCCAGCAGCCGCCCGAGCUCGCGUCUGCCGCUGCUCGUUGCUCGCUACCGUUGAUUGUUGCUGCAUGUCACCUGAUCUCUGUCCCACCUAGGAGCGGCAGUAGUGUGUCGCAGCAACAUGCGGCAACAACGAGAUCAGGUGACAUGCACGUUUGCAUGUCAUCGUGUGACUUGCGGCCUAAAUUCAAAUUUAAACAUUAUAAAAAAAUCUAAAAAAAUUAUGCAUGUUCAUAGCACAUAUUAAGAUAAUCCUUAAAAAAUUCAGAUCAAAAUUCGAAACAUACACUCAGAAACAAAAAAGAGAAACUCAGAUGUGAAUAGUGUAUACACAACCAUUCAUGACUAUUCAUGACAGAUUUCUCUUUUUUGUUUCUUGAUGUAUGUUUCGAAUUUUGAUCUGAAUUUUUUAAGGGUUAUUUUAAUAUGUGCUGUGAACAUGCAUGAUUUUUUUCAGAUUUUUUUGCAAUGUUUAAAUUUAAAUUUAAACCGCAAGUCACACGGUGACAUGCAAAGGUGCAUGUCACUGAUCUGUGUCCUCCUAGAUGCUGCUAUAUAUUGUUGUUUGCUACUGCCUCUAGGUGCUGCUCCUGCUUGCUUGCCGCUGCUAGAUGUUGCUCUAGCCGCUACUGGUUACUGUUUGAGCCCCUACUAAGGGCCAUGGCUGUGGCCAUGCUGUGUGCGUGUGUGUGCACAAAAAACCACUAGUCGGCGGUCGUGCAAAUUAGAUUAGGGCUAAUUUUCUAGUUAAUUUAACUACUAGCCAAUAUCAGUGCCCCCUGUUUUAAUUAGUGGAGCUAAUCCCGUGUUAACGUGAUAAAUCCCCUUUUAGAUUGGAGAACGCUAGGCGUCUGUCAGAUGAUUUUUAAAAAUUAUCUGUCACCUAGCUAGCCGUCGGAUGCCAAUCUAAUGCCCCGCAUCCCCGCCGCAUGGUUAGUAGUUAUUUCCUGAAACGACGCUCGAAUUGCGGAAACUUUCGCUUUGUUGCAAGAAAUAAAUUUUGGAUCCAUUAAUUCCUGAAAUAACGGUCGAGUUUCAGAAACAAUUUGCUUCUUGCAGAUUUUUUUUCUUCGUUUUUCUAUAACAUAGGUAUUUUUAUGGAAGAAUUUUUUGCAACAACGGUCGAGUUUCAGGAAUUUUUGCAACAAAAGUCACGUUGCAGCCGGGAUCCAUGCUCAACGGAGAGUCGAGCGCGCGAGCAGGGACACAUCUCCAGCGAGGCAGAGAAGCUCCCCGGCGGCGGGAGCUCGCCAGCAUCCGCGCCGCACACCUCCUCGUUCGCCGCGCGAGGUGGGGAUCCGGCGAUCCGGCGAGGUGGGGAUCCGGCGAGGGGCUGGAUCUCGUCGGCGAGGUGGGGAUCCGACGAGCUGGCGAGGACUGACGGCGUUGGCGGUUCACCGGACUCCGGCAGGCUCGUCCCCGGUAGCACAGGAGCCACGACGAGGAACCUGGAGUACUCCAGCUUCAGCCCCCGUUCCUGAAACAACGCUCCAGUUUCUGAAACAACGAGCCAGUUUCGGGAAAUGGUUCGUGAUCGAGGGAAGAUCUAACGGAUGAGCGGGCGGCGAAUGGAUCAACCGGAUCAGCCGGUGGGAUGUAAUCUUUUCCCUUUUAGAUUUAGUGAAGUAUUAGACAAUGACAUGUGGGUCCAUUGACCCAGUUGACCAGUUUGACUGGUCAACUACUGACUUGACCCCCACUCGCCCACUAUCAGCCCCAUAACACGAUGCUCUACACCCAGCCCUUUUCUGCUGAUUUUCGGAUUAAAAAUAAUCUGAUAGAUUUUUCGAAAUGAUUAAAAUUUUAGAAAAUCAUAGAAAAUAAAUCAUAACCUGGAUGAAAAUAAUAUGUAUAGGAAAGUUGCUCUGAAAAAUAUAUCGAAUCUAAAUAUGCUAUGCACAUAGCUGACAUCCCUCUAACAUAAUGAACAUGGACAUGUAGCAUCAAGAUCAUAUGUUCGGAAAAUGGGUGGAGCCGGGAAAAUAUUACCACAUAUUUCCCCUCUUCUUUUUAAAAUACUUAGGGGUCCUUAGAGCAUGUCACCCGCACAUCUUGUUGUGCUAUUGCAUUUGAUUGCUCAGUUAUUUAUUUGUUUCCCCUCCAUUACUUUUCGGUAGACCCCGAGACCGAUGUUGAUCCGGUGAUCGACUACUUCCGAGUCGAGUAUCCGUAUGUGUGUGCAAAGCAACCAGGCAAGCAGAUCCCCCUUGAUUAUUCUAAUAUCAUCCAUUCUUUCUCCCUCGUGCUUGCAUAAGAUUUUGCUACUUUUGUAGAUAGCUCAUAUUCUCAUGCAUAUCUCGUUUUACUGUUGUUAUACUCUAUUCCAUAUUAAAAGCUUAGUAUAGGUUUAUUAGUGAUCCCGAGUGACCCCACUUAGUUCUAGUUGCCUCUGCUUCAUCAUGGAAGAAUUCUAGACAUUGAAGACUUUAAGACUCAAGCAUCCGAUCGACAAGCCAUGACCCAUCACAUCACCUCACAUCCCUUAGGUUUCUGACCCUGCACAGCUUCUAUCGAGUACUAAGGGUGAUAACUCAUAAUGUACUCCGGAUGUUAAUUUUUAGUGUAGAUAACCGGAGGUGGAUUACGGAGGGUGAUUCCUCCUUCACCACUUCCGAUAACGACUCUGUCGUUCAACCCCUCAAGCAUGAACCAUCGAGGGUGAUUCCUCCCUAGUCACCUUGACGGUUACAUCCAUUGGAAUAAGUCGAGGGUGAUACCUCCGAUUCCUUUCAUUUUAUAGACACGCUAUUACUUUGACUUACUACUGGAACAUGAGGAGAUGUGUGGAGCGGGUGGAUAUCCGCAUGAAUGUGACGAUGCGUGGCCGGGUAUUCUUGGUCAUUGCCACAUGAUGACCCACAAGUAUAGGGGAUCAAUCAUAGUACUUUUGAUAAUUAAGGGUGUCUAACCCAAUGAGGAGCUGAAGGAAAUGACAAGCGGUUUUCAGCAAGAUAAUUUCUGCAAGCACUGAAAUAGCGGUAACAAGUUAUUUGGUAGAAAGGUAACUGUAACAAGUGACAUGUAGCAAUAGUAAGAAUAGGUGCAGCAACAUAGCCUAAUCCUUUUCUGGCAAAGGACUAGCCGGAACGGUUUAUUAUAAUAGACAAAGCGUUCUUGAGGGCACAUGAGAAUUUCAUCUAGCCACUUUCGUCAUGUCGGGUUAAUUCGCGUUCGGUACUUUGAUAAUUUGAUAUGUGGAUGGACCAACGCUUGGGUCCUUUUCUUACUUGAACAAGCCUCCCACUUAUGAUUAACCCUCCUGCAAGCAUCCGCAACUACGAGAGAAGUAUUAAGAAUAAGUUCUAACCAAUAGUUAAACAUAGGGAUCCAAAUCAGCCACUUACUGAGUAGCGUAUAAACUAGGGUUGAAGUUUCUGUCACCCUUGCAACUCACCAUAUAAUUACUACUCACCAGUGUUAAACAUGUUCAUGAUCAGAGAGGUAUUAAAUAGCAUAAUGGAUCAAAACAUAUGAUCUUCCACCAAAUAAACCAUAAAGCAUCAACUAUAAGAUGUAGUCAACACUACUAGUCACACCCUAGGUACCAAUUUGAGAUUCUGGUACAAGAUUGAGCACAAGAUAUGAAUUAGGGUUUUGAGAUGAGAUGGUGCCGUUGAAGCUGUUGAUGAAGAUUGACCUCCGCAAGAUGAGAGGGUUGUUGGUGAUAAUGAUGGCUUCAAUUUCCCCCUCCGGGAGGGAAGUUCCUCCGGCGGAAUCGCUACGCCAGAGGGCAAAAGUGCUCCUGCCCAAGUUCUGCCUCCAGACGACGGCGCUUUGUCCCGAAAGUCCUCUCUUGAUUUUUAUUCAGGUCAAAAGAGAAUUUAUACUAGCAGAUGAUCACCAGAGGUGGGCCAGGGGGGCCACUAGCCAGCACGCCGUGCCAGGGGGCUUGCACGCCCUGGUGCCUAGUGGGCACCUGGCAGCCCCCCUCCAGUACUUAUUGCCUCCAAUAUUUCUUAUAUAUUCCAUAAAAAAUCCUUGUGAAAUUUCAGCCCAUUUGGAGAUGUGUAGAAUUGGUAUCUUUGACGUAGCUUUUUCAGGUCCAGAAAUCUAUGUGCUGGCAUUCUCCCUCUUGGUGUAAACCUUGCAUAUUAUGAGAGAAAAGGCAUUAGAAUUACCCCAUAAAGUGGUAUAAUGAAUAAAAACACUAUAAAUAACAGUAAAAACAUGAUGCAAAAUGGACAUAUCAGCACACAUCCUCAAGACGGGGCGACGGGACCACAUAUCAUCGAUCGAUAAUCGUCACCGCAGUUGACAAAACAUUAAUGGGUUGGGUAUUUUAUCUAAGUUGGUCGCUUGACGUUUACGCACUAACCUUCACGGGGGAGAAGUUAUGGGUACUCGGCGUCGUUGUAUCAGCCAAAGCUUUUCAGACGUUAGCAUUGGAGCGACGCUCGCUCGAGUGGUCCGUAUAAGCAUUGAUCUUGUAUAAGAGGUGCCAGGACUGAUCUCGGUCGCUCUCACAACAGUCAAGAGUGCAAAGGGUGAUAGGCCCAAGACCCCUACAUUCUUAGGAUUUAGACCAGCGGGCUAGCCUCUGUGUUGAUCUAAGUAGGGCUACGACAUGUUGAUUUCCCAAGGCCGGGCAGCCCAGGAAAUUGUGUCUGACUAGAGGUAUCAAGCGUCUUGGGAAAUGUGGUGGACCCCUGCGCAGAUGAUUGAACUAUUCCAAUAGUCGUGUAAAGGGUAAUAGGACGACUUGGAGUUGUAUACCAAUCUAAUACAACUAGAAUUGUGAUUUAAAUUGAAAUGUUGGCUCCGAGAUUGCUUUCUCGCUGGGAGUCGAGGAAGGAUCUCUAGGCGUACUUAAUAAAUUUGUUGCAUAAUAUUUAUGACAUAUGUGUUACUAACUACAUUCUUUUAAUGCUACAAGACACUGAAGAUGAUAGUCUUGGAUAGGACUAGACCCUUCCCUCUAUUCCGGCAUUUCUACAGUCACAUCAAAGAUAUAGCCUCAUUCAUUUGAUACUGAUGCAUACUUAGUAUAGUUCUGAUGUCAGUCUUAUGAGUACUUUGGAUGAGUACUCACCGUUUCUUUGCUCCCCCUUUUCCUCUUGAUAUGAUUGCCACGACUAGAUGACUUAGCCUAGGAGCCAGUUGAUCCCGCUGACUACUACUACUACCCCCGACGGAGCCUACUACUACAUGGAGGCUGCUGACGACCAGGAGUAGUUAGGAGGCUCCCAGACACAAGGCCUUGCCUUUUAGAUACGAUGUUAUGUUUGUGCUAGCCUUCUUAAGGUAAAAUUUGUUUACUUAUGUCUAUACUCAGAUAUUAUUUGCUUCCGCUAAAUCGUGUGUAAUCGAGCUUAUGUAUUAAAGCCCUCGAGGCCACUAGCUUGAAAUAUGAAGCUUGUAUGACUUUAAUUUGUGUCUCGAGUUGUGUUGUGAUAUCUUCCCGUGAGAACCUAAUCUUGGUUGUACGCAUUUGCAUGUAUGAUUAGUGUACGAUCCAAAUGGGGGUGUCACAAGUUGGUAUCAGAGUCGACUGCCUGUAGGUAGCCCCCUUUCCAACUCCAACUCCUUGUCCUAAGUUGAGUCUAGUACUUGAAAAACUUUUACUAACUUUAUUGUGUGGCUUACGGGCCCACAUCUCAAUCUAUUGGCCACGAUCUUUUACUCCUCUUCUAUACUUUGGGUUCUGAUCUUUCUUCUCUUUCAGGUUAAUAAUUUUGCUAAAUCUAACUCUAGGUUCCCAUAACUACUUCCUCCUGGAGAGCCCCUCAUUCCAGAUGAUGGCUUGAUUCAUCAGAAUACUACGAAGGUACUCUCUCAUGUUCUCUCGAGAACUUGUGCUCAUCGCUUUUGUGGUUCCCUUCCUCCGUCAACCCCUAUGGAUGACUACUUACGAAUGUCGAUCAUACUUUAUUUUCCAAUUGCUCUUGUUGUUACAAGGUACAACGAAUUAUUUUACCGGGGAUUCAUUCAUCCUUAGUUGCCGUGGGUUUCACAAGUCCUUUGAAUUGCUUUUCGAUCUUCCGAAAUCCUCAGUAGCCUAUUGAUAUUGACUUUCCUCAACUGCUUGCAUUAUGGUUAAUUCCAUAUGUCUAGCAACAUUCAUUAAAUCCUUUGUGAUUGUCCUUUGAUCCUAUUGAUUCAGCCUAUGUGUGAAUUUACACAAUCAUCAAUUGACCAUCAUAAAUUAUUUGUCUGGCUCACGCGUCUUUCCAAACCGGAGCUGGUUCUCGGCAAAUCAACCUUGAUUGAUUGCACAUCUAAGUCGUUUCAGCUUACUUGUAUUUGAUUGGAGUAUAUGAUUCUGAUACACCAACCUGGAAAUCAUAAUUCCUUUGGUAUUUAAGCAUCAAAAUUAUUCAAAUGUUCUGUAAUCCAAUGCCUUACACUCNNNNNNNNNNNNNNNNNNNNNNNNNNNNNNNNNNNNNNNNNNNNNNNNNNNNNNNNNNNNNNNNNNCACUCUUUCUUCCUCUGAUUGAGUACCCAUACUCACAUCAGGUCCUUUGUGGACCGCCAUACCCAUUGUUGGGUUUAUCCGAUAACAUCCUUCACAUUUAAGAUUAUUGUGAUAUUCUUCCCCUAAUGCAUGAUGUCAUUGGUAAAUUGUGUCUCCUCCCUCUAAUAAGUUGUAACCUAUGCUUUUGUCAGCCAUGCUAGUCAAGCGUGUGUUAAUUACUCUUAAAAUUUGUGGUAUAUGUUCGUAAGAUGCCCAGUUGGUUUGAACCUAUGCCUUCCCUAAUCCAUGUGAACCCGAGAGUUUUCAUGAGUCUUACUCUUCCGACGUUUUGCCAUAUAACCUUUCAAAGUUACAUCUUCAUCAAAGGCGGGGAGUAAAUGGCAGAUGAUGUAUCGAUUAAUUGGGAGUCGACCUUGAAGUUUGUCUUCAUCCCCAUGGUCCCGGUGUAUGUCUUAUCAUGGAAGCUUCUCGUAAUAAUAAAAUUCCCUUGGUAUAAUUUGAUCUGAUAUAUGUGAUCUUGUCCUUUGCAAUCGUGGUUCCUACCAUGUUGUUCUACAUUGAUUUCAUUCUCAGAUAAGUUAAAGUGCUUGUCUUCCACUUAUUAAUACACUAGUCUAACCUCUAUUGUGAUCUACCUCUGAGUUUUAUCCCUGGUAUCUCAGGAAUAUCAUGGAUCUAUAUAACUUGUAGUGAGAACCUCAUCAAUAGUUCCCUCGUGUUUUGGUUUGUUGGACACUCAAGCACACCGAUAACUGAAUCGAGACGCAUUGCGAUUCAACAAGUCUUAGUAAUCUUCUUUGCUUAUGAGUUUGUACUCGAUCAUGUCAUUCCAAGCUGUUAGGCUACAUCAUCAUCGUCAUGCUAGAUCUUGACCAUGCUAUAUGUGUCCUUCAUCUCUAGAACACAUUUCAAAUAGUGCAAUAUGCUUGCAUCAAGCUUUCAACAUCAUGUUGCUUGGGUUGAAAGGUAAUUUCAAUUCUGAGCUAACAAUCUUAUGAAACACCUUUCGCUUGACCGUUCCUUUGCUUGAUGGCAUUGCAAAAUGAUUACAUCUUCAUGAAACUUCUUGACAAAGGUGUCGUGAUUCUCAUCAACAUUCUCAGCUCUUCCAGGAUAUCAAUCAAAUUCGUGAUGAGAAAUACCAUCCUUGCCCUUGAUGAUUUGUGUUAUCAUCGACAAUAUUAUUGCCAUCCCUCCAACACAAACUCGUUCUUGUUUUAUGUUGUACCUUGAGUUCCUUGAUAUGCAUCUUAUGUUAUUUUCUACCUUGGAGUAUUACCAUCUUUUAUGUCAAGGAUGUAGUGAGAAUUGUUGCACCUCUUAAGGAUUCUUUAUAUAGUGAUACUUCUCUCUAGCACCAUUCAUUUCUUGGCCCCCUUGUUGUUUCUAACUGGAAUACUGACAAGUUAAUUCUCAUGUGUGAUUCCAAUACUUUUCGCAACCCUAUUGCUUUGAAGUUAGUGACUGAUAGAUUCAUUCUUAGGGUGUUUUGUUGACUCGCCCCUUUAGCAUUGGUCGUGCUACCCAAUCCGUAUUUCCGAGUGCACCCUUUGAUCAAUGCUUAAUUUUUUAUAUUUUCUUGAGAAUAUGUCGUUAUAUCAGUUGAUCUCACAAAUGAUAUCUCCUUGUUUUUAUUAUUUUGGAAAUUCAUCCCUAUCGAAAUCAUGAGGGAUUGUUGUUGAGCCUAUCGGCCACAACCUCCACUUAUCCAUGUUUCAUGAUGAAGAUUUUGACAGCAUUAUCUUUGUGCCUAUCUCAUGAAGAAUAAGUUUGAUAAAAGAAGUAUUUUCCAAAGUUCAUGUGCAUUCUUGCCAAUAGGAAUAUGACAAAGUUUUGUUUCGCUUCCUCUUGGAUAAUCUCAAGUCAUUCACGCAUGUGCAAGUGUUAUAUGUUUUGAAGAUUUGCUAUCUUCACUUCAUAUAAAUUUCUUAGUACCCCAAUCCACUAACUGAUUUGAUCAAGGAAAAUAAGUUCAUUUAUAAGAGCUAAUUGAAGCUUACACAUGGACCUUGAUAUCCUCGAUGAUGGUCCCCAAUUUAGAACUCGGUUGCAUUUGUAAGAAUUCCAUGUGGGCACGAAUGUCUUGACAUUUUGUGCAUGUGUCUUACAAUCCAACUCAUGAUUCAGGAUUUGCUUCCUUAGUUCUUAACCCAAGAAUCUUGCAUCAUAAUCUUGUCAAUUUUGUUGCCCCAUUUUCUUCUCAAGCAUACUGAGUCUGAGCUAUCCUGACACCAAUCACAUCUGAAUCUUAGGCAGAUAUGAUGGUUGGAACUUUGCCCAAUAAUUCGAACAGUAUUUUAUGGGUAAACAUCAUGAUUCUCCUUGUCACUUUAUCUAAAUGGUUAUGUACUUGAUGACCUAUCAUGUAUACCAUGCUAUGUUUUCCUUGGGAAAGGUAUACUCUAAUACUUGUGUAGGAACACAUUUUUCUUUCCAUUGGCGUGUUUAACUAUUAUGGUAAUCUAAAUUAUCUGAGCAGUGGUAAUUCCCAUCUUGGUAAAAGCCUCAAUGUGCAACUCUGUUAGUAAGACCCUGCUACUAUUAUGCAUAACAUUCCGGUAGUUGUCGGUGGACGAGAACUUUGCCUAUUGGCCCGCCUCGUUUUAACGAGCAGGAAAAUGGUUCUAUUCAUCCCCGCCCUUGGUAUCGACGUUAUUGCCAACAUAACUGACAGGCUAUCCUGGGACAUGUCUUGCUACCAAGACUGUACAAGAUGUCAUCGCUCUGCCUAUUCUUGACCGACAUGGUGGGCCCAUAACCCAUAGUUCCACAUGAUCGAAACCUGACUCUCAUGUACAUCCUUGAUUCCAAAGUAUCUCUUGCACUUGGCUUCAUAUGUAAUUCCCGAGCCACCAUUCAAGGGAUGAUUUUUCUAGUAUCAAACGCAAUAUUUAUUCUUGUUGCUCUGUGCCCCCUUUCACCUUCUGAUUAGGCAUGGAAUGAUUUCCAGCCCGUUGAAACUUGUUGGGAACAUUGCAUGGGAAACAAAAAAUUUCCUACGCACACGAAGACCUAUCAUGGUGAUGUUCAUCUACGAGAGGGAGAUCGGAUCCACAUACCCUUGUAGAUCGCUAAGCGGGAAGCGUUAAGAAACGCGGUUGAUGUAGUGGUACAACUUUGUGAUUCAAAUCACCGUUGUCCCACGAUCCGUUUCGAUCUAGCGCUGAACGGACGGCACCUCCGUGUUCAGCACAUGUACAGUUCGAUGACGAUCCCCGCCUUCUUGAUCCAGCAAGAGAGACGGGGAAGUAGAUGAGUUCUCCGGCAACGUGAUGGCGCGCCGGUGAUGGUGAUGAUCUAUUCCCGCAGGGCUCCGCCCGAGCUCCGCAGAAAACUCAUCUAGAGGAAGAACUACGAAGUAGAGGUUUGAGUUGCACGUGGCAAAAGUUGUGUCUCAAAAACCCUACAACAUCUAGUAUAUAUAGGAGGAGGGGAGGGGCUAGCCUUGGGGCUCAAGGGAUCCCCAAGGGCACCGGCCGAGAGAGGAGAGGGGGACUCCAACUCCAAUUCGGUUUGGGGAAGGAGGAGCCCUCCUCUUCCUUCCCACCUCCCUCUUUUUUUCUUUUUCUUUGGUUUUUUUCUCCUUAGCCGACAUAGCCCACUUGGGCUGGCCUCACCAGCCCACUAAGGUCUGGUGCGCCACCCUUCGGCUAUUAGGCUCUCUCCCGGGUGGGUGGGCCCCUAACGGUGAAAACCCGAAACCCACUCGUCACUCCCGUUACACUGCCGAUAAUGCCCGAAAUCUUUCCGGAGACCAAAUGAAACCAUCUUGUAUAUCAAUCUUCAUUUUCGGACCAUUCCGGAAACCCUCGUGACGUCCGUGAUCUCAUCCGGGACUCCGAACAACCUUCGGUCACCAACACCUAUAAGUCAACUAUACCGAAACGUCACCGAACCUUAAGUGUGCAGACCCUGCGGGUUCGAGAACUAUGUAGACAUGACCCGAGGGACUCCUCGGUCAAUAUCCAAUAGCGGGACCUGGAUGCCCAUAUUGGAUCCUACAUAUUCCGAAGAUCUUUAUCGGUUGAACCUCAGUGCCAAGGAUUCAUAUAAUCCCGUAUGUCAUUUGAGACACUUCCCGGUCAAUAUCCAAUAGCGGGACCUAGAUUUCCAUAUUGGAUCCUACAUAUUCUACGAAGAUCUUAUCGGUUGAACCUCUGUGCCAAGAAUUCAUAUAAUCCCGUAUAACAUUCCCUUUGUCCUUCGGUAUGUGACUUGCCCGAGAUUUGAUCGUCGGUAUCUCUAUACCUAUUUCAAUAUCGUUACCGGCAAGUCUCUUUACUCGUUCCGUAAUACAAGAUCCCGUGACUAACACUUGAGUCACAUUGCUUGCAAGGCUUAUUUUUGAUGUUGUAUUACCGAGUGGGCCCCGGGAUACCUCUCCGUCACAUGGAGUGAGAAAUCCUAGUCUUGAUCCAUGCGAACACACCGGACACCUACGGAGAUACAUGUAGAGCACCUUUAUAGUCACCCAGUAACGUUGCGACGUUUGAUACACACAAGGUAUUCCUCCGUUGUCAGUGAGUUACAUGAUCUCAUGGUCAGAGGAAUGAAUACUUGACACGCAGAAAACAAUAGCAACAAAAAUGACACGAUCACAUGCUACGUUCAUAGUUUGGAUCUUGUCCAUCAGAUCAUUCUCCUAAUGAUGUGAUCCAGUUAUCAAGUGACAACACUUGCAUAUGGUCAGAAAACCUUAACCAUCCUUGAUCAACUGGCUAGUCAACUAGAGGCUUACUAGGGACAUUGUUUUGUCUAUGUAUCCACACAUGUAUCUAUGCUUUCAUUUAAUACAAUUAUAGCAUGGAUAAUAAAUGAUUAUCUUGAAACAAGAAAUAUAAUAAUAACUAUUUUAUCAUUGCCUCUACGGCAUAUUUCCAACAGUCUCCCACUUGAACUAGAGUCAAUAAUUUAGUCUCACAUCGCUAUGUGAUUUACAUUGGAAUGAAUCUAACACCCAUACAGUUCUGGUGUUGAUCAUGCUUUGCUCGCGGAAGAGUUUUAGUGAGCGGAUCUGCACACAUUCAGAUCCGUGUGCAGUUUGCAAAUAUUUACGUCCUCUCCUUCGACGUAGUAGGGGAUGAGGUUGAAGCACCGUUUGAUGUGUCUGGUCUUCUUGUGAAACCUUGGUUCUUUUGCUAAAGAAAUGGCACCAGUGUUGUCACAAAACAGAGUUAUUAGACUUAGUGCGCUCGACACAACUCCAAGAUCCGUCAUGAACUGCUUCAUCCAGACACCCUCCUUAGCUGCCUCCGAGGCAGCCAUGUACUCCGCUUCACAUGUAGAAUCUGCUACGACGCUUUGCUUGGAACUGCACCAGCUUACCGCACCAACAUUAAGAAUAAAUAUGUAUCCGGUUUGAGACUUAGAGUCAUCUGGAUCAGUGUCAAAGCUUGCAUCGACGUAACCCUUUACGACGAGCUCUUCGUCACCUCCAUAAACGAGAAACAUUUCCUUAGUCCUUUUCAGGUACUUCAGAAUAUUCUUGACCGCCGUCGAGUGAUACACUCCUGGAUUACUUUGAAACCUGCCUGCCAUACUUAUGGCCAGGCUGACAUCUGGUCUUGUGCACAACAUUGCAUACAUGAUAGACCCUUUGGCUGAAGCAUAGGGGACGGUACUAAUCUUUUCUCUAUCUUCCGCAGUUACUGGACACUGAGUCUUACUCAACUUUACACCUUGUAACACUGGCAAGAACCCCUUCCUGGACUGCUCCAUUUUGAACUUCUUCAAAACUUUAUCAUGGUAUGUGCUUUGUGAAAGUCCUAUUAGGCACUGAUACGUCUCCAACGUAUGUAUAAUUUUUGAUGGUUUCAUGCUAUUAUCUUGUCAUACUUUGGAUGUUUGAUAUGCAUGAAUAUGCUAUUUUAUAUCUUUUUUGGGACUAACCUAUUAACUCAGUGCCAAGUGCCAGUUUCUGUUUUUUCCAUGAUUUUGACACUUUUUCAGAUGGAGUACAAAUGGAAUAAAACUUUACGAUUAUUUGUUUGGACCAAAAGAGACCCCCGAUGGUUUGGAAGAAGGCCAGAAUAGCCACGAGGGAGUCACAAGACGGGAGGCGUGACCACCCCCCUAGGACGCACCUACCUGGCUUGUGACCUCCUCGUGGGCCCAACCAACGUAAUUCCACCGCCAUAAAUUCCUAUAAAUACAGAAACCCCCCAAAAAGAAACCUAGAUCGGGAGUUCCACCGCCACAAGCCUUUGUAGCCACCAAAAACCAAUCUGGAGCCUGUUCCGGCACCCUGCCGGAGGGGGAAUCCAUCUUCGGUGGCCAUCUUCAUCAUCCCGGCGAUCUCCAUGACGAGGAGGGAGUAGUUCUCCCUCGGGGCUGAGGGUAUGUACCAGUAGCUAUGUGUUUGAUCUCUCUCUCUCUCGUGUUCUUGAGAUGUCACGAUCUCGAUGUACCACGAGCUUUGCUACUACAUUUGGAUCUUAUGAUGUUCUUCCCCCUCUCCCUUCUUGUAAUGAAUCCAGUUUCCCCUUUGAAGUUAUCUUAUCGGAUUGAGUCUUUGAGAAUACUUGAUGUAUGUCUUGCACGUGUCUAUCUGAGGUGAUCAACUUGCGGGUUUGUGACAUUGGGAACCUAUGCAUAUGGGUUGGCACACGUUUGUUUCAUGUGAGUACUCGAUGUAUGUUUUGGUGAUCAACUUGCGGGUUCGUGACAUUGGGAACCUACGCAUAGGGGUUGGCACACGUUUUGACUCUCCGGUAGAAACUUUGGGGCACUCUUUGAAGUUCUAUGUGUUGGUUGAAUAGAUGAUUCUGGGAUUAUGUGAUGCAUAUCGUAUAAUCAUGCCCACGGAUACUUGAGGUGAUAAUGGAGUAUAUAGGUGACAUUAGGGUCUUGGUUGAUAUGUAUCUUAAGGUGUUAUUCUAGUAUGAACUCUAUGAAAGAUUGAACGGAAAGAAUAGCUUCGUGCUAUUUUACUACGGACUCUUGAAUAGAUUGAUCAGAAAGAAUAACUUUGUGGUGGUUUCGUACCCGACAAUAAUCUCUUCGUUUGUUCUCCGCUAUUAGUGACUUUGGAGUGACUCUUUGUUGCAUGUUGAGGGCUAGUUAUAUGAUCCAAUUAUGUUAUCAUUGUUGAGAGAACUUCACUAGUGAAAGUAUGAACCCUAGGCCUUGUUUCCACGCAUUGCAAUACCGUUCGUGCUCACUUUUGUUACUAGUUGCCUUGUUGUUUUUGUAAUUUCAGAUUACAAAGACCUAUAUCUACCAUCCAUAUUGCACUUGUAUCACCAUCUCUUCGCCGAACUAGUGCACCUAUACAAAUUACCAUUGUAUUGGGUGUGUUGGGGACACAAGAGACUCUUUGUUAUUUGGUUGCACGGUUGCUUGAGAGAGACCAUCUUCAUCCUACGGCUCCCGUGGACUGAUAAACCUUAGGUCACCCACUUGAGGNNNNNNNNNNNNNNNNNNNNNNNNNNNNNNNNNNNNNNNNNNNNNNNNNNNNNNNNNNNNNNNNNNNNNNNNNNNNNNNNNNNNNNNNNNNNNNNNNNNNCCAGAUGUACGACUGUCACAACAGUUGGAACUGGGUCAUCAACGAUUGUCUUCACUAAGAAACGGGUUCUAAUUCCUCAACUCCUUACUUUUCUCCUAUUAUGUGUUGAUGACUUUCACUGCAACUGUUUGAAGAAUUUGUUGAAGACUUUCUAUGAAUUUCCUCAACCCCAAAUUCUUCAUGUCAGUUAAUCCACAUCUUUAUUCUACGUGCCUGCUCACUAUGCAAUCUGUUUUCACAUUCUUCACUCUGAAAAACUGUUGUUGUGAAACUUUGCACUUCUGGUCCUUUACUGUUUCCGCUGUAAGUUAUUCAUCAGUGAGGAAUUUCCUCAAAAGGAAUUUCCUCAGUGAUGAAAUUCUAAAAAUCUCCUAUUCACCCCCCUCUAGUCGAUAUAACGCACUUUCAAUUGGUAUGAGAGCAAGGUACUCCCCUGUUCUGUGUGAUUUUGGUUAUCCUAUUCACCCCCCCCCCCUCUAGUCGAUAUAACGCACUUUCAAUUGGUAUCAGAGCAAGGUACUCCCUUGUUCUGGGUGAUUUUGGUUUAACCACCUCGAGUUUUAGUUAUGUUUCGACUGCAGGCAUGUUUAAGGUGACUGCAGCAUGUCCUACCUGCGAAGGAAAGAACUUUCCCUUCUGGAAGAACAAAAUGCAAAUGCAUCUACAAGCAAUUGAUAACGAUCUCUGGUAUAUUGUGGAACAUGGCGUGCCCAUCAUCUCUGCCAGUGUCUCUGCUGCUGAUGUGAAGAAAUUCAAGCAACUCGAUUCUCAAGCGAAGAACAUCAUCUGUGGCCAUCUGAGCCCAGGCCAGUUUGGAAGAGUAAGUGCUUUGGGCUCUGCAACACUGAUCUGGGAGAGACUGUGCAAGGUAAAUGAAGGAGUAUCAACCCAGCGUGACUCUCGUGUUGAUAUUCCUCGCAAUCUCUUCAAUCGCUUCAAGAGACAUGACAAUGAAAGCUGCCAAGACACCUUUGAUCGCCUCACUAACAUAUCAAAUGAACUCCAAGCACUGGGAGCUCGAGACAUCACUGAUCACGAAGUUGUGAAGAAACUGCUGAGAUCUUUGGAUUCUUCAUUUGAUACUUUAGUUCUGAUGAUUCAAGAAAGACCAGAUUACAAGAUGCUUGAUCCAGCUGAUAUACUAGAAAGGCUAAAUACUCAUGAAUUCCAACUAGAAGAAAAGAGAGAUCUAUAUGGACCAAACUAUUCCAGACCACGUGCACUGAAGGCUAGAGCAAUUUCCUCAUCUAAAGACGAAGACACAGAUGACAGCAUUUAUGACCCUAAAGAAUUUGGACAAGAGCUUGCAUUGCUCGUGAGGAAAUUCCAGAGAUUUACACGACGUGGCCAGUUCGGUAAAUCUUCAAGAAGAGACAUGAGGAAAUCAGAAUCUUCAUCUGAGGACUACAAGAAACGAACCCGUCAUAAGUGCAAGAAAUCAGGUCAUUACAUUGCUGAUUGUCCCCAUUGGGGGAAAGGAAUCAAAGAAGAAGAAAUACAAGGAUGAUAGUUNNNNNNNNNNNNNNNNNNNNNNNNNNNNNNNNNNNNNNNNNNNNNNNNNNNNNNNNNNNNNNNNNNNNNNNNNNNNNNNNNNNNNNNNNNNNNNNNNNNNAAUGAGUUCAAGGGGAUUGGCAACCCUUUUGCUUGCGUUGGGUGCAAGUGUGUACUCUUUUUUGUGUAGGUGAUGAAGGCAGGAAGUUGUGUGAUCCUUCUAUUGGUUUGAUAACCUUGGUUCUCACUGAGGUAAAUACUUAUCUUUAUUGUGAUGCAUCAUCCCCUCCUAUUUGGGUAAAAGUUCAAUGCAGAUCACAAGUAUCAAUGCUCUUUGUCCUAGAAAAAAUCAGAGGAAGACUUUCGGGAUGAAGCGUCACGGUCUCGAGCCAGAACCUGGACAGAAGCACUUUCAAUCUUUGGUGAAGCGAUUUCGGGAGGGAUACUUCCCUCCAGGAGGGGGAAGUCGAAGCCAUCACCACCACCAACACUACCUCCAUGUGGGACAACUCAUAUCCAUCAACAUCUUCAACAAUACCAUCUCAUCUCAAAACCUAGUUCAUCUCUUGUAUUCAAUCUUUAUCCCUAAACCUCAAAUUGGUACCUGUGGGUUGCUAGUAGUGUUGAUUACAUCUUGUAGUUGAUGAUAUUCUAUUUAUUUGGUGGAUGAUUACAUGUUAAGAUUAUUAAGAAUAUUCAAUACCCCUAUGAUAUUGAACAUGAACAUGGGUUGUGAGUAGUAACUAUUGUUCUUGAGGACAUGGGAGAAGUCCUCUUAAAAACUAUCAUGUGAAGUUGGUAUUUGUUCUAUAUUUUUAUGACAUGUAUGUUUUGUUUCCUUUAGUGGUGUCAUGUGAACAUCGACUACAUAACACUUCACCAUACUUAGGCCUAGAGGAGAGCAUUGUGGAAUAGGAAGUAGAUGAUGGGUUGCAAGAGUAACAGAAACUGAAACCCUAGUUUAUGUACUAUUUCGUAAGGGGCUGAUUUGGAUCCAUAUGUUUCAUGCUAUGGUUAGAUUUAUCUUAAUUCUUCAUAGUUAGUUGUAGGUCCUUACGAAAGUGGUUAAUCAUAAGUGGGUUGCUUGUUCAAGUAAGAAUAAGAUCUAAGCAUCAGUCAAUCCACGUUACAGUUUAUCAAUAUAUUGAACGUGAGUCAACUCAAACAUGGUAGGCAUGACUAGAUAAUAUUCCAAUGUGUCCUCAAGAAUGCUUUAUCAAUAUAAGAAUAACUUUUGGCUUGUCCUUUGUCUAAUAAGGAUUGGUCUACCUUGCUGCACAUUGCUACUUUGUUAAUUUUUACUUGUCAUGAAUUAUCUUACUAUCAAACUACACGUUACUAUUAUUUUCAGUGUUUGCACUGAAUACCUUACUGAAAACUGCUUGUCAUUUCCUUCAGCUCCUCAUUGGGUUUGACACACUUACUUACUAAAAGGACUGUGAUUGAUCCCCUAUACUUGUGGGUCACCAGUAUACAUGAGUGGAUGUCUAUGAGGAGUUAUAUUCCUUGUUCAUCGAAAAUGUAACCUUUUGAUCAUUGAAUGGUACAUCACGCCUCAGUUUGGUCAUUGUAAAUUCCUUGCGUAUUAAAUACGCCAGGAUUAGCUUGAUCCAUGGUGCGAUUAUGGAUAUUGAUUUGUAUUUGGGGGACGUCAUUGGAGAUGCGCUUACUCUUCUUUUUCUGAGUUUUUCUUUUGUGGUAGUCACUUAGUUCAUAUCUAGUUGCCCCCCUAAGAUUUAGAAGAGUAAAAUUUCACUAUUUAUUUUUUACCGGCGCCUAUCCGAUCCCUUAUAAUGGCUAUAGUAGUAAAAAAAUUAGUCCAUGGCCUCCCUGACUCCUAAAUAGACCCCUCCGUGACCUGUUGGAGUAAAAAUCUCCCUCUUGUGUGUGCCCACCUCGCAACUCAUGUGAAGUCCCUCGUCAAGUACUCCAUUGACGGUGACUUAGGGCCUCAAGAGCAACCUCGCCUGUGUACGACCUCACAAGAAUUAAUGGGAGACUGAGUUAAUGCAUGGAACAUAACUUCUACUCCGAGGGGCAGCAACUCUGAGCGGAUAUCUCGAACCAGAGGUUGCAUCUAUAGUGGUGCACUAAUAACUCACAAGUAUAUGGGGUCAUUUGUAGCAUUUUGAAAAAAUAAGAGUGUCGAACUCAAUGAGGAUCUAAAGAAAGAAUUAAUAUUCUCUUCANNNNNNNNNNNNNNNNNNNNNNNNNNNNNNNNNNNNNNNNNNNNNNNNNNNNNNNNNNNNNNNNNNNNNNNNNNNNNNNNNNNNNNNNNNNNNNNNNNNNUAAAAAAGGAAAAAAAGAGAAAAAGAAAAAAUGUAAUGCAAGAAAAGAGAGAAGGGAAAAUGCUAUUAUCUUCUUUUUCGACACUUGUGCUUAGAGGGACCACCGCAUUUUUCAUAUAGAGAGUCUCAUGAGUUGUCAUUUUCAUAUGAUAGUGGGAACUUUUCAUUAUAGAACUUGGCUUGUAUAUUGCGAUGAAGGGCUUGCUCAAAUUCCCGAGGUCUUCAUGAGCAAGCAAGUUGGAUGCACCCCCACUUAUUUUCCGUUGAUCUUUCAUACACUUAUCGAUCUAGUGCAUCCAUUGCAUGGAAAUCCCUACUCCUCACAUUGAUAUCGAUUGAUGGACAUCUCCAUAGCUCGUCGGUCCGCCUAGUUCAUGUGAGACUUUCUUUCCACUUUGACCCAUUUGAUCCCUACCACCAUACUCUAUUACACCCAUAUGCCAUAUCCAUGGUUCACACUCAUGUAUUGAGUGAGGCUGAAAAUGCUGAAGCGCGUUAAAAGUACGAUCCCAUUACCUGACUUGACACCGAGGUGCUCAUGAUUUAUACUUACGUGGUGAGGACGGAGCCAUGCCAUGCUUAUAUGAUAAAAUGAGUAGGGAAUAACAUUAUUUAAGGAUCGUAUAUUUUGAACAUGAAUGAUUAUGCUAUUUAUGUUUAUGGAUAUUAUUAUGUCAAUGUUUAUUAGCUCAUAGUUUCUCAAAGAUCAUACCUCAAAGAUAUUACAUGUUGGGUAGCAUGUCACAUCAACUUUUUUUUUAUCAUUUACCUACUCGAGGAUGAGCAAGAAUUAAGAUAGGGGAAGCUGAUAUGUCUCCAAUGUAUCUAUAUUUUUUUAUUGUUCCAUGCUAUUAUAUUAUCAUUCUAGGAUACUUUAUAUGCAUUUAUAUGUUUUUUAUAUCAUUUUUUGGAACUAACCUAUUAACCCAGUGCUUUGUACCAGUUGCUGUUUUUUGCUUGUUUUUGGAUUUUUAGGUAACUAGUACCAAACGAAGUCCAAACACUACAAAACUUUUGGACGUUUUUUUGGACAAAAAUAAGACUNNNNNNNNNNNNNNNNNNNNNNNNNNNNNNNNNNNNNNNNNNNNNNNNNNNNNNNNNNNNNNNNNNNNNNNNNNNNNNNNNNNNNNNNNNNNNNNNNNNNGGAAGCUUCAGAGGGAGGCCAGACGCCGCACGACGCAGCUCCAAGGCAAUAGGGCGCGCCCACGGGGUAGGGCACGCCCUGCUACCUUGGGGCCACCUCGCGGAUCCUCGUGGCAUAACUCCGCCUCUAUAAAUUCUCUAAAAUUGGGAAAACACUAGAGAGCCCCCUGAAAUACUUUUUCCACCAUCACAAGUCUCUGUUCCGCUGUGAUCCCAUCUGGAGCCGUGUUCCAGUGCCCUGCCGGAGGGAGAAUCAAUCACAGAGGGCCUCUAUGUUGGAAAUAUGCCCUAGAGGCAAUAAUAAAAUAGUUAUUAUUACAUUUCCUGUUUCAAGAUAAUCAUUUAUUAUCCAUGCUAUAUUUGUAUUGAAUGGAAACACAAAUGCAUGUGUGGAUAUAUAUAGACAAAACAAUGUCCCUAGUGAGCCUCUAGUUGACUAGCUCGUUUAUCAAAGAUGGUUAAGGUUUCCUAGCCAUAGACAAGUGUUGUCCGUUGAUAACGAGAUCACAUCGUUAGGGGAAUGAUGUGAUGGACAAGACCCAAACUAUAAACGUAGCAUGUGAUUGCGUCAUUUUGUUGUUAUUGUUUUAUGUAUGUCAAGUACACGUUCCUAUGACCAUGAGAUCAUGUAGCUCACUCACACCGGAGGAAUGCCUUUUGUGUAUCAAACGUCGCAACGUUACUGGGUGACUAUAAAGGUGCUCUACGGGUAUCUCCGAAAGUGUCCGUUGAGUUAGCAUGGAUCAAGACUGGGAUUUGUCACUCCGUAUAACGCAGAGGUAUCUUGGGGCCCACUUGGUAAUACAACAUCACAAACAAGCCUUGCAAGUAAUGUGGCUAAAGAGUUAGCCACGGGAUCUUGUAUUACGGAACGAGUAAAGAGACUUGCCAGUAAAGAGAUUGAAAUAGGUAUAGAGAUACCGACGAUCGAAUCUCGGGCAAGUAACAUACCGAAGGACAAAGGGAACAUUAUACGGGAUUAACUGAAUCCUUGACAUAGAGGUUCAACCGAUAAGAUCUUCGUAGAAUAUGUAGGAUCCAAUAUGGGCAUCUAGGUCUCGCUAUUGUAUAUUGUCCGGAGAGUGUCUUGGCCAUGUCUACAUAGUUCUCGAACUGGUAGGGUCUACACACUUAAGGUUCGGUGACGUUUGGGUAUAGUUGAAUUAUUGAUGUUGGUGAACGAAUGUUGUUUGGAGUCCCAGAUGAGAUCUCGGAUGUCACGAGGGUUUCUAGAAUAGUCUGGAAAUGAAGAUUGAUAUAUAGGAAUAUUGCAUUUGGCUUUCAGAAAAUUUCGGGCAUUACCGGUAAAGUACGAGGAGUGACGAAUGGGUUACAGGGUUUUACCGGGAGGGGCCUGUAACAUCCCAAUUUUUCUUAAAUCAGGAUGUUAAUAGAUCAUUCAUAUGCAUAUCAUAUUUUCCUAUGCAUCAUUUGCUCUUUUGAAAAUUUUAUUCAUUAUGUAACUUCGGGCAAUUUAUUGGAGUGGAGAUAAUAUGACUUCUCCCCUGUCAAAUAAAAGUGCAUAAUGUUUCGAAUAUUAUUUGGAGNNNNNNNNNNNNNNNNNNNNNNNNNNNNNNNNNNNNNNNNNNNNNNNNNNNNNNNNNNNNNNNNNNNNNNNNNNNNNNNNNNNNNNNNNNNNNNNNNNNNNNNNNNNNNNNNNNNNNNNNNNNNNNNNNNNNNNNNNNNNNNNNNNNNNNNNNNNNNNNNNNNNNNNNNNNNNNNNNNNNNNNNNNNNNNNNNNNNNNNNNNNNNNNNNNNNNNNNNNNNNNNNNNNNNNNNNNNNNNNNNNNNNNNNNNNNNNNNNNNNNNNNNNNNNNNNNNNNNNNNNNNNNNNNNNNNNNNNNNNNNNNNNNNNNNNNNNNNNNNNNNNNNNNNNNNNNNNNNNNNNNNNNNNNNNNNNNNNNNNNNNNNNNNNNNNNNNNNNNNNNNNNNNNNNNNNNNNNNNNNNNNNNNNNNNNNNNNNNNNNNNNNNNNNNNNNNNNNNNNNNNNNNNNNNNNNNNNNNNNNNNNNNNNNNNNNNNNNNNNNNNNNNNNNNNNNNNNNNNNNACUUCGAUUCAGGAAAUUCUUUUUCCUGUGAUCUCGUAUUGAUGAGUAGAACAUGUUAGAACCAGUAGUUUUCAGUUUUACGAAAAUUAUUAUUUUUUGUUAAAACAGAUUUAUUUUAGACCUACCGGAGGCCAUAUUUUGCAAACCGUUCAUCCGGUUUAGUUGAUUCUUUUUUUUUGCGUUGUCAUCGUAUCAGCAUGUAGAUGAUUUUAUACCUGCUGCCAUAGUAUUUAUGCUUUGGUUUUAAACAAGUUGUUUUAUUGCCGAUGGUUUUAUUUGGUGUUAUGUGAUUGUGGUGAUUGAUUGGUGUGAUUGUUUGCAACGUGUAGAUUGUGCGGAGUGCGACGCAAACUAUUGUCAGGAGUGUGACUUUCUGAACCAGAAUCAAGGCAAGUUACAUGUUGAUCAUCCUUUACCUAUUGUUUUCUAUGCAUGUAGUAUUAUAUCACCCUAUGAAAAUUUAUGCAUGUAUAGGAUCAUUAUUAUUAUUGCUAUGCUAUUGAGCUAUAUCCCUCGUCUUGAAGAUCGUGGUAUUUGAAAUUUUGCUAUGCUAUGUAGACGGGGAUUGGUUCCUGUAUUCAUUGAGAUUAUGUGAGGAUUACUACAAAAUAAAUUGACUAGUAAUUCAGGAUAUAAUACACCUCUGGGCGGAUAUGGUAUUGCUGGGUGGUUUCAAGAACAUCAUGGUAUCAACCCUUUGAAUGUAAGUGGAUGCCGCCCAGGUUCAAAAAGAUCAAACAGACUUAGUGACUAGUAGCUUCCGUGCGCAACCACUAGCUAUAUGGGCUCUGGCUUAGUUGAGUAGGUUGUGGGAACCUUGCCUGGGAAAAGCUAGCAGAUGUAGAUAUAAAUAGGUGUACCGGCUUGCCGUUGGGUGGAGGUGACUGCUUCUGAAAGACUUCGUCUCAAUCUUCGGGUUUGGUCUAGUGGGUACAGUGUGCAAACCUCUGCAGAGUGUAUAAACUAAUCAUGAUUAGCCGUGUCCCCGGUUAUGGACAAUUUUGAGCAGCUAGGCCAUUGCAGUUGUUGGAUGAUCUUGACAGAUGACACACUUAAUAAAAUUUGAUGGGAAACUUAAUAAUGGUAAUAGGUUGGAGUUGGAGAUGCCAAUUCAACCAUAUGUGAGUUAUUGUAGCAAACAAAUUAAAACUUGACUAUUAGGUAGUUAUGAGGAUAAAAUCAGCUUUCUACAAAAUAACCAUCAGCCUUUCUCUUGUUAUACUAUGCAUAUACAUGUAGGUCUGUUAUAUUACUUUUCCUGUGUAACUUGCCAAUACAUUCAAAGUAUUGACCUAUAUGGCUGCAACGUAUCAUGUUGCAGGAUAUUCAGACGAGGAGUAAGGUACCGUUAGGGUCGCGAGUCUUCACUCAACAUCGCCAGUGGGCUAUGAUGGGACUCAUCGUUAUUAUUCUGCUACUUUUCCGCUGUUUGAUAGAAUAAAGCUAGUUAAGUGCUAUGCAGAUUGUUAUACCUUAUAAAUUCUGGAUCAUACGUUAUAAUAAAUCAUGCACUUGCUAUAUCUGGUUUUCAUCUAUACUGUGUGUGCUAGCGAGUCGAUCCAGGGACUAGCACAGUAAAGCACAGAGACUCAAAUCCUUCAAGGUUUGGUCGUUACAGGGCCACCCACCCGGGAGAGAACCUAAUAGUCCCAUGGGUGGCGCGCCAGCCCUUAGUGGGCUGGUGAGGCCAUCCCAAUAAACCUAUUUUGGCUGAAAGUAGAAAAAAAAGGAAAAGGACAAAAAGGAAGGAGGUGGACAAGUGGGGAAGGAGUCCUCCACCAAACCGAAUUGGAGGAGGACUCCUCCCUCUUGGGCUCGGCUGAAGCUCCUCCUUGGAGUAGGAGCCAAGCCAACCCCCCUCUUGUUCCUUCUAUAUAUAGUGGAGGUUUGAGAUGCUUUUUGCACCCCAAGCCAUUGUGAAACCCUCUCUCCAUCCACCAAUUCGUGACACACCGUAGCUAGUUCUGUACGGCACGACGAAGCCUUGUCGGAGUAGCUCCACCACCAUCACCACCACACCGUCGUGCUGCCGGAGAAUUCAUAUACCACUUCGUCUCUCUUGCUGGAUCAAGAAGUCGGAGAUCGUUAUCGAGUUGUACGUGUGCUGAACGCGGAGGUGUCGUCUGUUCGGUACUAGAUUAGGACGGAGUUCGUGGGACACUUGUGAUUCGGAUCGCGGAGACGUUCGACUACAUCAACUACGUUUCUUGAUGCUUCCCGCUUAGAGAUCUACAAGGUUAUGUGGAUCCGAUCUCCCCUCUCGUAGAUGAUCAUCACCAUGAUAGGUACUUCGUGUGUGUAUGAUUUUUUUUGUUUCCCAUGCAACAUUCCCCAACAGUGGCAUCAUGAGCUAGGUUCAUGCUUAGAUGAUAUCUUGAGUAGAAAACAAAAGAGUUUCUGGGCGUUGAUGUUCAAUUUGCUUCCCUCCUUAGUCUUUUCUUGAUUCAGCAGUAUCGUUGGAUUGUAGCGGCCCGGACCAACAUUACUCGUAUGCUUACGAGAGAACGGUUUCAUCGACUAACAUGCAACUUGUUGCAUAAAGAUGACUGGCGGAUAUGUGUUUCUUCAACAUUAGUUGAAUCAGAUUUGACCGAGGCGGUCCUUGGAGAAGGUUAAAUAGCAAUUUGCAUAUCAUCGUUGUGGCUAUGCAUAAGUAAGAUGUGAUCAUACUAGAUACCCAUACCGGCCACGUAAAAUUAGCAACAACAAAUUAGAGGACAUCUAACUUGUUUUUGCAGGGUAUGCAUGUGAUGUGAUAUGGCCAAAGACAUGAUAUGAUAUAUUGGAUGUAUGAGAUGAUCAUGUUGUAAUAGUUAAAUAUCGACUUGCAUGUCGAUGCUACGGCAACCGACAGGAGCCAUAGGGUUGUCUUUAAUUGUUUAUUUGCGCUUGGUGAUGCUUUGCUUUAUCGCUAGUAGUAGCUUUAGUAGUAACAACAUAGUUAGCGCGACAACCUCGAUGGCAGCACGAUGAUGGAGAUCAUGAUUAUGGACAUCAUGGUGUGGCGCCGGUGACGAUGGAGAUCAUGCCGGUGCUUUGGUGAUGGAGGUCAAGAAGCACAAGUUCACGGCCUUAUCAUGUCACUUAUGAUUUGAAUGUGAUGUUAAUCCUGUUAUGCACCUUAUUUUGCUUAGAAUUACAGUAAAUUAUAAGGUGAUCUCUCAUUAAAAUUUCAAGAUAAAAUUGUGUUCUCCCCGAAUGUGCACAGUUGCGACAGUUCAUUGUUUCGAGACAACACAUGAUGAUCGGGUGUGAUAGACUCAACGUUCACAUACAACAGGUGCAAAACAGUUGCACACGCGGAACACUUGGGUUAAACUUGACGAGCCUAGCAUGUACACACAUGACCUCGGAACACAAGAGACCGAAAGGUCGAGCAUGAAUUGUCGGGACCCCAAUCCUAAGCCAUAGGAAUCCAGCCUGUAACACAUUGCAUCCCUUUGCGGUCUCAUGCACGGUUAUACCCACGGCUGCCACCUUACCUUAGCCGGGACCGUUUGUUCCUUUUGACUCACGUAUGCAUUAGUGUCGCUAGCAUUCCAAUGUCAAAGAACCCGGGUCGACAUAUCUAGUCGUAAACUCAAGUGGCUCGACUAUGCAGAGAGAGGCAUACAUAACCCAGCAAAGCAGGUGUCGGUCAACAGCGAGUGUGGACGAGUCGUAGCAAGCUACAAGGACUCCAUUACACCAUGUGAAGUUUCCCCGUAGGGACAGACACAACAGCUAGGAAGGAUACAUGCCGGUCAACCAAUGUGUCUGGAGCAGUAGCGAACUACCAAGGCUCGGUGCAAUCACAAAGGGGUAUUUCUAUGUAUAGAGAGCUACUAAGGGCAUACGACUAAGUGUCGAAUCCCAUACAUAUCAUAGUGCAUCACACGUACGCAUGACAUACUCGAUAUGCAUAGAUACAACAAUGGCAUCACAACAUAACCAUACAACAACACAACAUUUAUUUAGAAGACUCGGAAGAGUCUUGCAUAAUAUGUUCAUACAGGCAGGGGUCACAUGAACCGACACUCAAAGUCAUACAAACCAACGGAAGCAUAAAAGCUAUCUCUAUACAGACAGUUGAAAGGAUAAGGCAUAAAGCAUGACUAUCUACAGAUCCCUUCUGAAAGGGGCCAGGUCGUAGCUGGGACACCAGCUACUCGUCAUCAUCGAUGUCUAGAAAGAACCCACCUGUUGGCUCGUGGUUAUCCUCUGCAACAAUUAUUAAGCAAACAUGAGUACAAGAGUACUCAGCAAGACUUUGGAACAUAUCUAUCUACUCAUGCUCAGGUAUCAAUAAAGGGGGUUGUGGUGUUUCAUGCAGCAAGCCAACUUUGACUCUUGGCUAGACUAAACUACAAUUUUGAAAUAGUUUUAACAACUUUGAUAAGUCGUACAUGAGUCCACUACCACCACAACAAUACACUAUCAUGAACUCCUUUCCGUCUCCUUACGGAAACGCCAUACAUGAUACUCACGCUUAUCUUGAUACUUUUAUGAGUAGCCAUUAAAGUUAUCUGUGAACAACAUAUGUCUCCAAGUAGUCCAUAUCCGCAGACGCGGCUAUUCGAAUAGAUCAUAACCCUACAGGGGUGUACUUCUUCACACACGCUCUCGCCACUUAUCCCUAUGUGCACGUCAUGCACCUCGGCAACCUUCAAGCGGAAGCCCAACGAGGGAGUCGACCAUCACCGUUAACCACGCUAAUACCUAGUCCAGGUUUAUCGCCUAUUUGAGAGUAACCCGCACGGAAGUCUGGCCGAGGUUUCCGCCAUGGCCCCAAACGAUGUGCGCAGGGUUCCCAUGCCCACCAUCCGGGUGCCACUUGGUACACGGUGCCACUGCCUACCGCAUCAUAGCCCACCUCUACGGUCAGCACUAUGCACGGCCUCCAGCAUGACUAUAAACACCAGAAACUACUUGCAACUCCUGGAACAAGUAUUAGGCAAUUAAUAAGUCGAGCGGGGUCAUAUUUUAGGGCCCAAAAUGUGGUAGUAACUCAUCUUGGAUUACAUACGCGGAACUCAGUUCCUAAGGACGGUUCCAAUGAAACAACCCGCCAUGUACUCCUACAUAGCCUUUCAUUGGUACCUUUACCAAAUCAGGUUCCACACUUAUUCUUUGUCACUAGAACACAUUCAUCCAUUCAUGUUCAUCACCCAGAUGAAAUAGACCUGACACUACUCUAGGCAUAGCAAGCAUAGCCGAAAAUAGCACAACAUGGCUCAAGCAACUACCAGGUAUGCUAGGUUGCAAGGUUUGGCUAUUUACUAUGAUAAUGGCAGGUCAUGCAAAGGAAUAGGUUCAACUACCGAAGUAAAGCAUUUGAAAUAUUUUGUCCUAAUGCAAUAAGUGGGAGUAGGAGCAAGAACAUGGGAUUAUAUCGGGAUGAUCAAAAGGGUGCUCGCCUUGUUGCUCAGCAGAGGGGUUAAAUCCGUCAGACGGAUAUUCCGACAUAUCCGUAAGGGCGGAGCCUACCGAAAUAAUAACAAUCAAUCACUAACAUUCAUAUGCAACAAUAUGAUGCAUGAUCAUGGCAUGAAAUAAAUUGUAGCUUGAGUUAAUGUGGCUAUCAAACUUUUAGGAUGAUGCUGAUUUGAAUUCAAUUCAAAUAUUAGUUGAAAUAAUAUAUUUAUCAUAUUCAUUUAAUUGAUUUGACCUGAUGCUAUUUCAUAACUUUGUUUGUCAUGCAUGAAAAUAGCACCAUUGUGUUCAUUGAAUUUUUCUAAUCAAUUUGCAUAUAUUAUUUGGCAAAUUUGGAGUUAUAAUCAAUUUUCCAUGAAUUUCCAAAGUUUUAGCAUUUUUUGGAAUUAUAUUAAAUCAGAAAUAGAGUUACUGCAUCAGCAUGACAUCAGCAGGUCCAACUGGCCGUUGAAAGUCAAACCUGACCAGUGGGAACCACUGGUGAGUGACUGUGGCCAGAUUUUAAUUGAAUUUAAAGUUAAUUAGUUAUUGAACAGGGGCUGGCCCACAUGUGAGUGGCUGUUUAGGGAUUUAGUUAACUAAUUAUUUUAUUAGUCUAAACUUAAUUAGCCAGGGGGCUGGCCCCACCUGCCAGUGACUCUGGGGAGGCAACCCCACCGGCGGCGAGGUGGAUCUCACCGGCGAUGAGGCUCUGGCGACCACAGGGACGGCGGAGGGCAUCGGGUUUUCGUUUCCGACAACCAAAAGGACGUCAGAGUGGCUCAAACGAUCGGCCACUCGAUCGCGAGCAAGAUGGGGCAAGUCUCGGGGACUGAGGUGACCGGAAUCGACGCCGGCGACGAGCUCGGUGGCUAUCGGAGCUCGGCCAUCAUCCAGGUCAUCAAAACCGAGUGCAAAUCAUGCGGGGUUGGGCUCCUAGAACAUCUAUGCGACGAGCUCGAGCUGAUGGAGUCCUCAGAUGGACCAGUCGAUCACCGUAGGGUCACCGGCGACGAGCUACAACGGCGUACCUCGUCGGGCUCCAGUGAAAUCGGGGCUUAGAGCUCGGGAUCGAGGGGGAAAACGAGGGGGAAAGCACCCUGAGCUCACAGGGAGUGCAGAGACGUCGAAAGCGGGCUCGGGGAUGGCCUGGAGAGGGUGAACGACGGCGGUGAACGCCGGCGAUCUGAGGAAGAAGAUGACGGUAUCGGGGCGAUGCAGGGCUCUAGAGCUUGCGUGGCUUGUUGGAUAGCUUCAGGGAGUCAUGGCGAGUCUUCUGUGCGGCUCAGGGGAGAGAGAGAGGGGCUGGAGCGACGGCGAGCUCGAGCUCGGCUCUAAUGGUGGCCGAGAGGGAGAGGGAAGAGAGCGCGAAUGGGGAGAGGAUGAGGACGGGAAUGGGUUCCGGGGAGGCUUAUCUCCCAUGCCAGCACGAUGGAGGGGCACAGGCACGCAGGUGCGUGGCCGCGCCGGAGAGAGCGGCGGCCACCUCCUGCUGCCUACUGGCGCGAGGAAGACGACAGCGCUAUGGUGGGUGCUACCUCUUGAGCUUGCAUUGGUUUUUCCCUUGAAGAGGAAAGGGUGAUGCAGCACAGUAGCGAUAAGUAUUUCCCUCAGUUUGAGAACCAAGGUAUCAAUCCAGUAGGAGUAUCAAGAUGAGGCACCAAAGUACCUGCGCAAAAACAAACAAACUUGCACCCAACGCUAUAAAGGGGUUGUCAAUCCCUUCACGAUUAUUUGCAAGGUGAGAUCUGAAGGUGGAAAGUGAAACAAAGUAAAAGUGUAGAUCUGAAAAUAUGAUGUGAAGUAGACCCGGGGGCCAUAGUGUAUACUAGAGGCUUAUCUCAUGAUAGCAAGUAUUACGGUGGGUGACCGAAUUACUGUCGAGCAAUUGAUAGAAUCGCGCAAAGUCAUGACCCCAUCUAGUGUAUUAAGUUCAUAACAAACAGAGUAACGCUUUAAGCAAGAUGACAUGAUGUAGAGGGAUAAAUUCAUGCAAUAUGAUAUAAACCCCAUCUUUUUACCCUUGAUGGCAACAACACAAUGCGUGCCUCGCUACCCCUUCUGUCACUAGGUGAGGACACCGCACGGUAUGAACCCAAAACCAAGCACUUCUCCCAUUGCAAGAAUUGUAGAUCAAGUUGGCCAAACGAAACCCACAACUCGAAGAAAAUUACAAGGAUACGAAAUCAUGCAUAUAAGAGAUCAGAGGAGACUCAAAUAAUAUUUAUAGAUAAUCUGAUCAUAAAUCCACAAUNNNNNNNNNNNNNNNNNNNNNNNNNNNNNNNNNNNNNNNNNNNNNNNNNNNNNNNNNNNNNNNNNNNNNNNNNNNNNNNNNNNNNNNNNNNNNNNNNNNNCUUAAUCCGCUUCUGCUCGGGGGUGGUGAGCAAAAUAGACUUAAGAGCACAAUCGAUAUUACCUUCAUACUUGGCCAUCCAAUCCAUGCCUAGGAUUACAUCCAAUCCCUGGGACUCUAAUAUGAUAAGGUCGGUGGGAAAAUUAUGGUUCCCGAUGUUGAGACUCAAAGCAUGGCAUCCUAUCUCGGCUGUCAUCAUGCCUCCUGGGGAACUGACAUUAAUAGGUUGGCUGAGGGUUCUAGUUGGUAAACUAUACUUUUCCACAACUACCCUUGAUAUGAAUGAAUGCGUUGCACCAGAAUCAAAAAGUACCAAUACUGGAUGUGAAUUUAGCAAAAACUUACCAACCACAGUAUCGGGGUGAUCAUAGACCUCUUCAACAUCAAUGUGGUUCACCUGAGCUCGAGGAAAAGGAUUGGGCUUCUUUGCUGCAGAGUUGCCGUUGUCGUUGCCAUUGCCGUUGCCGUUUCCAUUUCCCUGCUUGUUCUGGGGACAAUCAGUGGCAUAGUGUCCCGUCUUCUGAAACUUGAAGCAAGUGAUGUGAGUCAGAUCCUUCUGAGCUGGAGCUGACUGCUGCUGGGUGCCAGUACCGCCAUUCUUGAAGUUGUUGUUGUUGCGGUGAUUCCCAUUUCCUCCAUGGUUGUGGCCUCCAUGGUUGUGCACAGGGUGGUUAUGCUGAACAUGUCCACCAAACUUACCGGAUCCAGUCCCGGUAUUCCGUGAGUAGGGGGUGUAGCGAGGCUUCUGCUGAGUGCCAGAGUUGAACUUUCCAACCCCAUACUUUCGCCUGCGGUUCUCCAUCUGCUGAUGUUUCCCCUCCAAGAUGAGGGCCUUAUCAACCAGCUCCUGGUCAUUGUNNNNNNNNNNNNNNNNNNNNNNNNNNNNNNNNNNNNNNNNNNNNNNNNNNNNNNNNNNNNNNNNNNNNNNNNNNNNNNNNNNNNNNNNNNNNNNNNNNNNUAUCGAAUGAAUACCAAAUUCACAUGACUACUUAUAGCAUCCUUCUUCUAGGACCAAAUAAUCGUGAAGUGUUAUGUAGUCGACAUUCACAUAACACCACUAGAGGAAAAACAACAUACAACACAUCAAAAUAUCGAACGAAUACCAAAUUCACAUGACUACUUAUAGCAUGACUUAUCCCAUGUCCUCAGGAACAAAAGUAACUACUCACAAAGCAUAAUUAUGUUCAUGACCAGAGAGGUAUUGAAUAGCAUCAAGGAUCUGAACAUAUAAUCUUCCACCGAGUAAGCCAACUAGCAUCAACUACAAAGAGUAAUUAACACUACUAGCAACCUUACAAGUACCAAUCAGAGUCGCGAGUUGGAGAUUGGUUACAAGAGAUGAACUAGGGUUUGGAGAUAAGAUGGUGCUGAUGAAGAUGUUGAUGGGAGUCGCGAGACGGAGAUUGGUUACAAGAGAUGAACUAGGGUUUGGCGAUGAGAUGGUGCUGAUGAAGAUGUUGAUGAGGAUGAGUCCCCUCCGAUGAGAGCAGUAUUGGUGAUGACGAUGGCGACGAUUUCCCCCUCCGAGAAGGAAGUUUCCCCGGCAGGACGGCCCUGCCGGAGCUCUAGAUUGGUUCUGCUCAAGUUCUGCCUCGUGGCGGCGGCGAAUCCUCCCGAAAGCCUCCUCUUGAUUUUUUUUGGAACGAAACCCUCCUUACAGCAAAAGAGGGGAGCCAGAGGGCCAACAGGGAGCCCACAAUCCCCCUAGGCGCGGCCAGGGGGUAGGCCGCGCCUAGCAGGCUUGUGGCCUCCUGGUGGCUCCCCUCUGGUACUUCUUGUGCCCAGUAUUUUUUAUAAAUUCCAAAAUAAUUCCUCGUUGAUUUUCACGGCUUUUGGAGUUGCGCAGAAUAGGUAUCUCAAACUUGCUCCCUUUUUAGGCCAGAAUUCCAGCUGCGGGCAUUCUCCCUCUUCAUGUAAACCUUGUAAAAUAAGAGAGAAAAGGCAUAAGUAUUGUACUGUGCAGUGUAAUAAAAGCCCAUAAAGUGAUAAAUAUCAACAUAAAAGCAUGAUGCAAAAUGGACGUAUCAGCUCCCCCAAGCUUACACUUGACUUGUCCUCAAGCGGAAACCGAGAUCAAUAAAUAUGCCCACAUGUUUAGAGAGAGAGGUGUCGACAAAACAAGAUAAGGACAUGCAGGCAUCAUGAUCAUAGUUAGAACAGCAAUAUCAUCAUAUCAUCUCUUAUGCUAAAGUGAUAAUUCCAUCACAAAGUAAAGUAUGGAUCAAGAACCUUAUUGAGAAUUAACAACCAAUAGCCUUUAGUCAAUGAAGCAAUUGCAGUUUAUCAUAAACAUCGGAAAGAGUCAAAUAAGAGCUUGUAAAGCAAAUCCACAUACUCAAUCAUCCUUUCGUCUUCUACAAUUGCUACAACUCACGUGGUACUCAUGAGAACAAAGUUUCGGUCGGACACAGAGAAAGAUAGGGGCUUAUAGUUUUGCCUCCCAACUAUUUACCUCAACGGUAAUGUCAACAAUAAUAAUUCAUGAAUACUUACUUCCAAGUUGACAUAUGAAUAUAGAUCUUUCCCAAGCAUGUGACGGUAGCCAAGACAAAGGCAAAAAUAGGGAAUUGGUGAAGAUCACCAUGACUCUUACAAGGGCAAAAAGUAAAGGUACAAGAUAGGCCCUUCGCAGAGGGAAGCANNNNNNNNNNNNNNNNNNNNNNNNNNNNNNNNNNNNNNNNNNNNNNNNNNNNNNNNNNNNNNNNNNNNNNNNNNNNNNNNNNNNNNNNNNNNNNNNNNNNAUAGAUCAGCAAAGAAGGAGUUCUUGACUGUGUUGUAAGGUGUGAAUUUGAGUAAGACUCAAAACCCGACCACGACAGAAUAAAGAGAAUAGACGAAGGUCGUCUUCUAUGCCUUAGCCGUAGACUCUAAAGUAUGCCAUGCUGAGUACCGCACCUGAUGUGUGCCUUGACUCAAAGUCUGUUGAGAGGUACAGAGAGUGAUCCAUGAUUGAGUCACUAGCAGCGGUCAAAAUUUAUCCUUAGUAACUGAUGGACUAAGGAAUUUUUCUCGAUUAUGGAGGUGGUUAAAGAGUUCGUCGUAAAGGAUUACGUCGAUGUAAGCUUUGACACUAAUCCGAAUAACUAUGAGUAGUGAAACGGAUUCGUAUAGUAGAGUAGAUAUUUGGAGUAUUUCCGAAUAGCACAUAGUAGUAGCAUCUAUAAGAUGACAUAAAGAUUUGUAAAGAAGACACGGAUCUAAAAAUUUCAGAACCGUUGACUAAAACCUCUCUCAUGAGCAAGACGUGAUCAGACCCCAUAACUAUAUGGGUGUUGGAUUCGUUGGAAUCACAUGGUGAUGUGAACUAGAUUAUUGACUCUAGUGCAAGUGGGAGACUAUUGGAAUAUGCCCUAGAGGCAAUAAUAAAUUAGUUAUUAUUAUAUUUCUUUGUUCAUGAUAAUCGUUUAUUAUCCAUGCUAUAAUUGUAUUGAUUGGAAACACAAUACUUGUGUGGAUACAUAGACAAAACACUGUCCCUAGUAAGCCUCUAGUUGACUAGCUCGUUGAUCAAAGCUGGCCAAGGUUUCCUGGCCAUAGGCAAGUGUUGAUACUUGAUAACGGGAUCACAUCAUUAGGAGAAUCAUGUGAUAGACUAGACCCAAACUAAUAGACGUAGCAUGUUGAUCGUGUCAUUUUGUUGCUACUGUUUUCUGCGUGUCAAGUAUUUGUUCCUAUGAUCAUGAGAUCAUAUAACUCACUGACACCGGAGGAAUGCUUUGUGUGUAUCAAACGUCGCAACAUAACUGGGUGACUAUAAAGAUGCUCUACAAGUAUCUCCGAAGGUGUUAGUUGAGUUAGUAUGGAUCGAGACUGGGAUUUGUCACUCUGUGUGACGGAGAGGUAUCUCGGGACCCACUCGGUAAUACAACAUCACACACAAGCCUUGCAAGCAAUGUGACUUAGUGUAAGUUGCGGGAUCUUGUAUUACGGAACGAGUAAAGAGACUUGCUGGUAAAUGAGAUUUAAAUAGGUAUGCGGAUACUGACGAUCGAAUCUCAAGCAAGUAACAUACGGAAGGACAAAGGGAAUGACAUACGGGAUUAUAUGAAUCCUUGGCACUGAGGUUCAAACGAUAAGAUCUUCGGAAUAUGUAGGAUCCAAUAUGGGCAUCCAGGUCCCGCUAUUGGAUAUUGACCGAGGAGUCCCUCGGGUCAUGUCUACAUAGUUCUCGAACCCGCACGGUCUGCACACUUAAGGUUCGACGAUGUUUUAUGCGUAUUUGAGUUAUAUGGCUGGUUACCGAAUGUUGUCCGGAGUCCCGGAUGGGAUCAUGGAUGUCACGAGGGUUUCCGGAAUGGUCCGGAGACGAAGAUUGAUAUAUAGGAUGGCCUCAUUUGGUUACCGGAAAGUUUCCCAGCAUUACCGGAAAAGUUUCGGGCUCAUCGGUAGUGUACCGGGAGUGCCGAGAGGGGUAACGGGGACCAUCGAGAGGGGUGUCACGCCCCAAGAGGUCUCAUGGGCAAUGGGAAGAGAUAAACCAGCCCCUAGUGGGCUAGAAUAAGUUCCCACUAAGGCCCAUAAGGUUUGAGAAGGAAAAAACACAAGGUGGAAAGAGAUUCCAAGUGGGAAGGUGGAAUCCUACUCCAAGUAGGAUUGGAGUAGGACUCCUCCACCUCCAAUUUCGGCCAAACCUUGAGGGUUUGAGGCUGCCUCUUCCCUCCCCCUCCCUCCUAUAUAUACUGAGGUAUUAGGGCUGAUUUGAGACAAUUUUUGCCACGGCAGCCCGACCACAUACCUCCACGAUUUUUCCUCUAGAUCGCGUUUCUGCAGAGCUCGGGCGGAGCCCUGCUGAGAUUAGAUCACCACCAACCUCCGGACCGCCGUCACGCUGCCGGAGAACUCAUCUACCUCUCCGUCUCUCUUGCUGGAUCAAGAAGGCCGAGAUCAUCGUCGAGCUGUACGUGUGCUGAACGCGGAGGUGCCGUCCGUUCGGCACUAGAUCGGAGCGGAUCGUGGGACGGAUCGCGGGACGGUUCGCGGGGCGGAUCGAGGGACGUGAGGACGUUCCACUACAUCAACCGCGUUUCUUAAUGCUUCUGCUGUGCGAUCUACAAGGGUACGUAGAUCGGUAAUCCCCUCUCGUAGAUGGACAUUACCAUGAUAGGUCUUUGUGCGCGUAGGAAAUUUUUUGUUUCCCAUGCGACGUUCCCCAACAGAAAGUAGUACACAACAAGGCUCGUCUCAUAGAUCAAGGCUACACUGAAGUUGAAGGCAUGGACUAUGGCGAUACUUACACACCCUUUUCUAUACUUGAGGUUGUUCGCAUACUUCUUGCUUAUGCCAAUCACCAUGAUACUACUCUUUACCCAAUAGAUAUCAAAAGAGCUUUACUUAAUGGUGAAAUUGAGGAGGAAGUUUAUGUUAAACAACCUCCAGGCUUUGUGAACCCUAAAAAACCUAAUCAUGUCUAUAAAUUUCACAAAGCUCUCUAUGGUCUUAAACAAGCCCCUCGAGCUUGGUGCAAAUGCUUAAUGAAGUUUCUCUUAGAAAGGAUUUUGAGAUUGCUAAAAUUGAUGCAACCUUGUUAACUAAAAUAGUUAAUGGUGAAUUAUUUGUGUGCCAAAUUUAUGUGUAUGGUAUUAUCUUUGGAUCUACUAACCCACAUUUUAGUAAGAAAUUUGGAAGGUUGAUGAUAGAGAAAUAUAAGAUGUCUAUGAUGUGUGAGCUGAAAUUUUUCCUAGGUUUGCAAAUCAAGAAAACGAGAGAUGGUACAUUUAUCUCUCAAACCAAGUACACCAAGGACUUGUUCAAGAAUUUCAACAUGCAAGAGUGCAAAGAUAUGAUAAUUCCCAUGCCUACUACUGGACAUGUUGACCUCACUAAGUAGGACAAACAGGUUGAUCAAAAAGUCUAUCGACCAAUGAUGUGUUCAUUGCUAUAUCCAUGUGCCUCUCGUCGAGAUACCAUGCUAAGUGUGUGUGCAUGUGUGCUUGAUAACAACAGGCAACCAAAGAGUGUUAUUUUAGGGCGGUGAAAAAAUUGUGAUAUACUUGAUACAUACACAAAACUUUGGCAUUUUGUACCCCAAGGGAUCUUCUUUUAACAUUAUGGGCUAUUCUAACUUGGAUUAUGUCGAAGAUAAGGUUGAUGGAAAAUCCACCUCAGCUACUUGUCAAUUUCUUUGGAGAUCUCAUGUGUCUUGGUCAUCCAAGAAACAAAACUCAGUAUCUCUAUCUACCACAAAAGCGGAAUACAUUGCCACCGAUUCAUGUUGUGCACAGUUACUUUGGAUGACUCAAACUCUUAAAGACUAUGGAAUAUAUGUGAAACAUGUUCCAUAGUUUUUUUACAAUGACAUUUCUAUUAAUAUUUCUCACAAUCCCAUGCAACAUUCUCGGACAAAGCAUAUUCAAGGUCUUUACCAUUUUAUUGGUGAUCAUGUUGCCAAAGGGGACAUUAAGCUCAAACAUGUUUGUACCCACGAACAAUUGUCGGAUAUCUUUACUAAGCCACUUGAUGAGCAAUUGUUUUGUCACUUGAGGAGUUAGUUGAACAUCAUAGAUGCUUCAAACCUGAUCUAGAGACUAACACGGAUGCAUGCGAGGCCAUGAGCUUACAAGAUUAUCCCCUGAUACUAUUGACAUGAUGAUAUUUCAUAGCUUGCAUUACUAUGCCACCUUGUAUUGCAUCUAAUCUUUUGUAGGUACUUGGAUGGACUACACACAAUAAGGUUUCUAUCAAAUCAUACCACUAGCAAUUUUGUCAUAACCAAGUAUCAAGAACCCCUCUUUGAAGAUGAAGCAAGAAGAAAACACAAACAAUAUCCUUGACAAACAUUUCGCUUCACUUUUGUCAUUUGGAUAUAUCAUGUUAUUCCUUGCUUGACUAAACCAUGUAAGAGGACCCGCUUGAAAAUAAAGAAGGAUAGCUCCAAACUUGAACUUUUGAGCAUCCACAACAAGACCACCUACAUGCUACGUCAUAAACAUUUUUCAAUGGUAUGUAAUCAUAUCUUUGAAGAAGCUUUACUCCAAGUCAUGAGAUAAAGAAAUUCUAAGUGAUAUGAAAACAUUAAAAUACUUAAACGAAAAAUGGUAUCCCAAUUUUGAUCUUAACAAUGUGUAUGACCUAUGAUCACACAAUCUUUCUUGGCUCCUUAAGUUAAUAUACUCUAAUAAAGGUGACCUAGUCGCGGACCAACAUCUAGAUCCUGAACUUGGAUGGAUAAAUUUUCCUUUAUUGCCUACUAUGUUACGCCCCAAUUUUCCCUAGAUGAAAAUUCCUUGCAAAUCUUAUUAAAAAAUCCUUGCAAAAUUUGUCAAGUCUUUCUAAAAAAUGUAUUUGACAAGAUCUCCAAGAAUAACUUUGUCAAGUUUCUGUUUCCAUCUCGGAUACUUCAACAUUGGGCAAUUGGCGACACCGAUAUUACCCAGAGCCCCAAAAUCCUUUAUCGAUCAAUUUUAUUUCGGAGCCUCCGACUUUUGCUACUACUUGUGUUUUUUGGCAUAUUCUUGAUAUUUUCAAACAGUGUUCUCCAUGACCUUUAUUCUCUAGCAUCCCUUACUCUAUGACCCUUCUUCGAAAUUGAUGGCAAAGGGGAGAAAGAUCAAAGCUUAAAUUCAAAGCUUUAGGCGGAGAAUCAUCAAAUCUCAAGGAUAAUCAUUAAGGAGGAGAUAACAAUUUAUAUCAAUAUCUUUAAAAGGAGAGAGAAAAGACUAGGUGACAUGAAUUUAGACCAUGUGUUGGUUAAUUCUGCGAUUUCUUGCUCCUAAUGUCUACUUGCUAAAGACUAGGGAGAGGGGUAAAAGGAAACUCAUAUUUAGGGGAGAAAGUUCUACAAAUAUUCUUUGAGACAUGUUAACCCUAAGAGAAUACUAUCUUGAACAUGUCAUCCAAAUCUUGACAAACUUGAGAUUCCUUUGCAGUUUUCUGAAAGAAAUAUCCUUGUGUUAUCUAACCUUGUUUUCUCAAGUGUGUUUCUGUAGUGAAGAUGCUCCAACACUUCAAGGUAAGUGUAUGCAUCAUACCUAUGCUUAGGAUGAUCUCUUGCUUCUUUCACAUACUAUUCGCAAGAGUGAAUCUUUAACAUGGAGACACUUUAUUCUCAUAUAUUUGAUGCAUAUGGCCAAGGUACAUAUGACUUGUCAUGUCCUCUCUACUAUGUGUGCACUCAUGCAUUCCAAAUGCAAUGAUUCCUUAAAGGGAUUUCACACAUUUAGGGGGAGCUUGUUUUAGUCAUAUGUCACUCGAAGCUAUCAUAUAGCACUACCUAUUUUAAAUUGAAGUUGUGAUUCUAUGUUGUCGUCAAUUACCAAAAAGGGGGAGAUUGAAAGCACAUAUGGUCCCUUGGAGGUUUUGAUAAUUCAUGACAAUAUACAUUAUCUUCUAAACUAAUAGUUAUACCUACUUUUUUUCAGAAUGAUUAGAAAAUAUUGCAGUGGGCUCGGAAUUUUGAGGAGGAUCCACCAGAAGGAAAGGAAUACGAUUGCCAAACCUUCAAUCUUCACGACCCAACAUUUUAUAUUUAUGUGAGAAAUCACAUUUUAGUCCAUAGGAAAGCCAAUACUAUUAAAAGGGGAUAAGGUAUCUACUCACUCCGUCCGGAAUUACUUGUCAUUAAAAUGGAUACAAAUGGAUUAUCUAGAACUAAAAUACAUCUAGAUACAUCCAUUCCCACGACAAGUAUUUCCGGACGGAGGGAGUAUGAUGAUCUGUUACUCAAAGUACUUGGAGAUUAGCCACCAAAAGCCACAACAUUUGUUUCACAAAAUAUUCUGUACAAAAACCUAAACUUCAAAUUCUGUGCCACCAACUGUACACAAUCGGCCAUACUAAGUUUUCCUUUCAACAGAACCCAAAGCCAAACCCCAGCAAUUCUGUACAAUCGAGUUUUGCUUUCGUACAACCGAAAGCAGUGACCAACUUGUUGUUUCCCAUUUGCUAAAAAUCUGAAUUUCCGAGUUCUCCAAAUCAGUCUCACCGAGUCUUAGAACUGCCUAGGCCAACCUAGUCGGUCUCACGGAGAUGUUGUGUAUCGGUCUCACCGAAACGCCAAAAGUUAGAGCAUUUUGCACUAGUCAGUGCAACCGAGUUUUUACUCUGGUUGCACCGAGUUGGGCAAUAAUGUUGUACGGUUGGAUUUUUGGAGAUGGCUAUAUAUACACCUCCAGCCCCCCUCUCAUUCCUAAAGAGAGAACACAAAACAAGCAAACACUUCCAUCAUUCAAUUUCUUAGAGAGAACCACCUUCUCAUGUGUUGAGAUCAGGAUCUUCCACUCCAACCAUAUGAAUCUUGAUUUCUAUCCUCCCCAAGUUUCUUUCCACCCAAUCAAUCUCUUCUACCCAGCCAAACUAUGUGAGAGAGUGAUCGAGUAUUAACGAGACUAUCUUUUGAGGAACUACAUCAAGGAGUUCAUCAUCCCUACCACAUCUAUUACCUUUUAGAGAGUUGUGGGUCCUAGAUUGGUUAGGUGUCGCUUGGGAGCCUCCAAAUCGUGUGGAGUUGAACAAAGAAGUUCGUAACAUCAAGGACGUCGCGUACUUCCUGAAGUUCUAACCUCAGUGAGGGUAUUCCGUCGUGGAUGUAAACCAUGGUGGAAUAGAUAGGGUUGCUUCUCUCUGGACCCUUUGUGGGUGAACCCUUCAUGGACUCGCGUAGAUAUUACCAUCCAUGGGUUGAAGUCUCCAUCAACAUGCAUGUACGAUAGCACCACCUACUAGAACCACCCCACAAAUCUCUGUGUCUUCUUUGCAUUUGAUCUUCCAAUCUCUAUGCCUUACUUACAUGUGCAUGUCUUUACUUUCCUCUGCCAUAAUCGUAAACUUGCAUGUGUAGGAUUUUCUAGACUUGCUAUAAUUGCUAAAACUUGCCAACCAAUAAAAUUGGGAAAAUGUUAGGUUUUUAUUUUGUCAAGUAGUCUAUUCACCCCCCCUCUAGACACACACUUCUUGAGCCCAAAGUGUUCUAUUGAUUGACUUGAUAUGUGUUUUGGUACUCAACUUGCGGAUUCUCGUGGUGACAAUGGGGUAAUCUAUCCAUAUGGGCUGAUACACAUUCUUCUCCUACUUUCUCUCAUAGAAAUCUUGGGCUACUGUUUGGUGCUCUUUGUGUUGGAUUGAAUAUGAUGAAUCCGAAAUUUUAUGAUGCAUGUCGAAGAAUUAACCCACAGAUACAUGAGGUUACAUUUGGGUUUAUUGAUGUGUAUCAUAGGUGUUAUUCUAGUAAGAACUCUAGGACUGUUUGUGACACUUAUAUGAAUAGCUAAAUAGUUCAAUCGGAAAGAAUAGAUUUGAGGGGGUUUGUAGGGUCGAAAGUAUGUCUAGAGGGGGGGUGAUUAGACUACUUGACAAGAUAAAAACUUAGCCUUUUCCCAAUUUUAAGUGUGGGCCAUUUUUAGCAAUUAUGGCUAUCAAGUAGACGCUACAUAUGCACAUCUAAGAGUAUAGCAGCGAAAAGUAAAACAUGCAAGUGUAAAGUAGAGGGUAAGGUAGGGAGAUCAAACGCAAAGGUUGACAUGAGGAUUUUCGGCAUGAUUCCGAUAGGUGGCCCCGUCCAUGUUAGUUGAGACUUCAAUCCUCCACUACUGGAAUCAGAGAGUUUGCCAUCAGCCCCGUUCUUUGCCGUCUGCUGGCUGAUGGCAAAGACCCUCUUUAUUGUCAGCUGCCAAAAACCACACGACAAAGAGCAGACUGAUGGCAAAGAUAAUAUUUGCCAUCAGUGAGCAUUUUGCCGUCUGCCAGCUCACGACAAAGAGAGCAAAGUCAUAUGGCAAACAACUGAUUGCUCGCUGGUAUUUUCAUUUGCCAUCAGUGAGCUCUUUGCCGUCUGCCAGCUAACGACACAAAGACAACGGGUAGACGACAAAGAGCACGUGAUGGCACACUGGUCCGUUGUUUGACCGGACGUUAUGGAUGCUACUCUUUGUCAUCUGCCUUCUACCUCUUUGCCAUCGGGGGCAGACAGCAAAGAGGAUGGCGCCAUAACAGACGUCGGCCCCCACCCCACACCCCUCUCUCUCCCUUAACAUGUCUCCCUCUUUCCCCGCACCCCCGAAACCCACCGCCGACGGAGCUCUCCCUCCCCUCCUCCCCGCGACCCGUUACCGGAGCUCGCCCUCCCCACGGCCCACCUCCACCAUUGCCCACUCCUCCACCACCGCCCUCCUGCACUACCGCCCGCCUCCACCCCGGGCCCUCCUCCUCCCUGCGACCCCCUCCUCCACCAUCUCCUCCUCUUCCCCGUGACCCCCUCCUCCACCACCGUGGCCCCUCCCUCACCACCGCCCCUCCCCUUCGUGGCCCCCACCUCCACCAUCGCCGCCCCCUACUCCCCAUGCCCUUCCUUCUCGUGACCGCCUCCUUCACCAUUGCGCCACCCCACCUCCAACACUGCCCACCUCCCCGCGGACCCCACCUCCCUGCGCCUCCUCCUCCUCUACGCCCAACCUUCCUGCACCGUCCUCAUCGCCCGGCCGCCCCCAUCCCGUGAGUCCCUCUUUUCUUCCUUUUUUGUUUAAUUUGUUAAUUAGCUUAGUUAGGUUAGUUGUUACUUAGCUUAGUUAGGUUAGUUGUUAAUUAUCUUAGUUAGGUUAGUUGUUAAUUAGCUUAGUUAGGUUAGUUGUUAAUUAGCGACUAUUAAUUAGCUUAGUUAGGUUAGUUCAUAAUUAGCUAUUGUUAAUUAUCUUAGUUAGGUUAGUUGUUAAUUAGCUUAGUUAGACGAGAAGAAAAGAAGAAGAAGAAGAAGAAGAAGAAGAAGAAGAAGAAAAAGAGGAGAGACGAGAAGAAGAAAGAAGAGGAAAAGGAAAAGAAGGAAGAAGAAGAAGAAGAGGAAAAGGAAAAGAAGAAGAAGAAGAAGAAGAGAAGAAGAAGAAGAAGAAGAAGAAGAAGAAAACGAAGAAAACGAAGAAGAGGAAGAAGAAGAAAAGGAAGAAAAAGAAAAAAAAGAAGAGUAGGAAGAAGAAAACGACACCCCGACACCCCAACAUCCCGACACGGUGCCCCGACACCCCGAGACGAUGCCCUGACACCACGACACGACGCCUCGACACGACAUCCCGACACCCCGGCAUGAAACUCUGCACAACUAUUAAUACGCCGCCCCCGACGACACUUACCCCUAACCCCCGACCCCUGACACCUCUUCGGCCUCUUGUUGACCGAUAAGGUGCUCUUUGGGCUUCCAGAGGCCACUGGAGGCGGACCUCACCAGGAGAAUGCUUGGAGAGGAGAGGAGAGGCAGAGAGGAGAGGUCUCCGGAACCGGAAUAGAUGGCUUGCUAACCCUUCGACCGUGCGUCGCCAUACCUGAGGGCCCUGGGGACGAGCCAGUUAUGGCGUUCCUCAGCGUCGAUGGAACCCUAAAUGACAUUUAUAUAGGUUAGGGGUGCCUCGACGUCGAUGGAACCCUGAAUGACAUAUAUUUUGUGUAGGGGUGCCUCCGCGUGGAUGAAACAAGGAGUGAGAGUUGUUUUUUUAGAAUUUGGCGGUGGCAUCCUGUUGUAAAAUAUUUAGUUAGGUUCACGGAAAAAACAAUAAUGAUAUGUUGCUCAUCUUUGGAUUUAAAUCUGCAAUUGUUUUCGUCGUUGCGAGGGUGUGGUGUUCGACGAGCUCCGCCCCUGCAUUCGACUAGGCAAGAUGAGUGAUCGUGCGUGGAUGUACAUCGGUCACCCUAGUCAGAAAGAGAUGACCAAAGAAUGGUUUCUAAAAACCAAGGAGUUUGUGAAAGCCGCAUUUGCAAAUGGCCAGGAAACAAACUGGUGCCCGUGACCUGGGUGCGACAACUAUAAAAAGAGGACAGAGUCUGAAAUGAUUAAACACCUGCAGAGGAGUGGUUUUAAGCCUAAUUAUACGGUGUGGACAAUUCAUGGUGAGUCUAUACAACGCACCAGAGCUGAGGUGGUUCAUCGUUGCACCGACGAGCAUGGUACUGGGAUCGAAGAGAUGGUGCAAUACUUUGAUGAUGCUCGAGAUUCGGAAGAUGAGAUGGAGGAAUCUGCAAAGGCCUUCUAUGAAAUGUUGGAGUCUUCAAAACGUCCUCUCCACGAGCACACUGAGCUUUGUCAGUAGGAUGCCAUUGCACAAGUAAUGGCUCUUAAGGCUUAAUUCAACUUGGGAAGAGAAUGCUACGACGUGAUGAUGACAUUAUUUGGAUGCUUUCUACCCAAAGGCCAUGUCAUGCCUACAAACCUGUACUAGUUGGACAAAAUACUUCGUGUACUUAAGAUCCCCUAUGAGAAGAUACAUGGUUGUGAGAAAGGAUGUGCCUUAUUUAGGAAGGAGUAUGCACACUUGGACUAUUGUCCCAUUUGCAAGUCUUGCAGGUAUCUUGUGGUAGACAACGGUAUGGGUGAGAAGAGGAAGACCGAAAUCCUAGUUAAUGUUCUUCGGUAUAUUCCAAUCAUACCAAGGCUUCAACGUAUUUUCAUGGACGAAGAGACAGCCCGACAGAUGACAUGUCACAAAUUGGGAAAAGGAAUCAAACUAGAUGCAGAUGGUAAUAAGAUGGCGGUACACACAUCAGAUGGGAAGCAUGGAAAGAAUUCGAUGGACUACAUAUAGGACUAGUCAAAAUCAAUCCAAGAACCCAUUUAGAUGUUCCCGAUGUCUGUAUUAUGGCUCAAGAGGGGACCCAAGUUUACUCUCUACCGUGGGCAUGCCAAACUGAUAAGAAUCUAAAUGGUUGGUAUGUUGUUUAUGAAGUGCCGCCACAUGUUAGACCACCUCCCCUAGAUGAAGAGGAUUAUGAACCUCACAUUAACCCAGACACAUAUGAUGGAUAAUUCUUCCAAGAAACACACCUUUCCAAGAAACGUUUCGAGAACCGUCGUGCUUCACCCCAGAACAUGGAAGUAGAUAGCGACAGUGAAUCCAACUUCACCCGUGAGCCGGAACUAGCAGAGCUGGAACUAGAAGAGGUUACUGCUGCGGAUUACCUGUCAAUGCUUGACCGAUUACAGAAAGGCCUUCCACAAGUUCAUGCCAUUGAACCCGAUGAGCACGUCAUUCAUGAAGAAACGUGUGAUAGUGAUGAUGAUGAUGCAUUAAUUGAUCCAGACUAUUAUUAAUUUGUAUGCAUCCCAACUUAAAUUAUAUAUGUACAUAUUAUUAUUCAUGUCAGGUAUUAUAUUUUUUUAUGUUGUAAUAAUUUAUUUUACUUUCAUCAUGGCACGUGUUGAAAUAUGGUGUGCGCGGGUACAUAUCGCUCGGCGGGUUCUUCUUCGUCGGCGGCCCGCGUGAGGGAUGGUACUUCCAUUCCACCCCUAUCUCUCCAUAGAGCCUUGGUAGAUAGUCUGACGACACCACCCGCGGGUGCUUCUUCGUUGGUGGCGUUGCCCACUAGGAGAGGAGGUCGGGCAGGGAAGAAGGGGAAAGGUACAUGACGUGGCCAUGGGACAGGUAGGCGGACUGCUACACCAUCCUCACCACCACCACCAACUCAUUCACCCGAGCACAUGACUACUAUGUUGGACCCGUUUGCGGUGGAUGCUAUGGGGACUCCGGUCCUGGAGCCUCGGGUCUACGGGAAUUCGGCCCAUGAGACUCCGAACCAGGAGCCUCGGAUCGAUGGGCAUUCAGCCCAUGAGACUACGGUUCCUGAGGAUACGUCCAAGGAGACUCCCACCAUAGAGGCUUCGGCUAACGUGGAGAUGUCCGGAUGGGGUGCCUCGCCGGAUCGCGACCGAGGGGCCGGGUGGCCAUUCUAUUGGUGGCGGGGAUGAGUCUACGGAUAGUGAAGGCGACGUGGUGGACGGGGUAACCGUGUACAAGCGUGGUAGUACACGUCUCUCGGUCAUACCGGCGACACGCGAUCAGAAGACGGUGAUUAAGCCUGAAGGGGAGAGCUAAGUGCAUUUACUCUUUUUUUACCUUUUGCCUUCAAGUUUCUUCAAAUAUGUAAUGCGUUGACCUUGUCAUACUGUAGGGGUUGGAAACACCCCCCUGGCGUCCGCAAGCCUAACACCGUCCUUGGUGUGCUUUGUCGAACAAAUUUCCCGGGGUUUGUCACGUUGCCCGGUGAGGGUCAGGUUCCUACACUAAUAUUUAGCUGGGAGCACUACCAGGCUGCGCAGGCCCCGCCGUAGGAGAUUGUAGAUGGUGUCUUGUGCCACAUGAGGGCCGAGAUGGUGAUCAACACCUUUUGGGUAAAUUAUCCUUUUACACAAUCAAAAAUUAACAAUAUAGCUAAUUAUUGUACUAAUCGGUGUUGUCUCGUUUGAUUGCAGACCUACUACAGGUGUGAGGAGGGAUAUGAGGAGGCGGCGGCCAAUGUUCUCGAGGCCGAGUGCUGGUGUCUAUUACAGAACUUACUCCACGAGGCUCGGUCGCAGGCUAUUCGAGACUACUAUGCCAUGCAUGGUGUUAAGAAGCAGAAGAAGGAGUGGCGUCGAAAGUAUCUGAAGAAGGAGCAGUACAUGAAGGUAAUUACCUAUUCUUAAGGCCUUGUACGUAGUUUUCUUGAUUUGGAUUCGUAGGCGUAGCGCUCAAAAUUCUUUUUACUAACUUAUAGGUGCCCCGAGAUGGUGUGCGGAUAAGAUGGAUUGUUGGGAGGCGUUGGUGCAUGAGUGGUGCACAGGCAACUGGCGAGCCGUCCACGACAAUGCGAAGGAUCGGCGUGCCCAAAUGGAUGGUGUGCCACACCAUCAAGGCAGCGCCAACUUAAUUCAGUUCAGACAAAACUGGUAUGUGGUUUGCUUCCUUAUUCAUGCAAUUCAUUCUUCAUGCUAGCUUGAUCCCUUUACUAAUACUUUGUUCCUCUCUUUUAGGCGCAUCACAAUAAGAUGGAGGUGCCAGAGUUGUAUGACCUUUAGGGCAUGGCCCAUACCGCAUCCUACAAGAAGGCCAAUGCUUUCUCUAAGUCUGACUGGAUCAUCGAGAGAAGAUCGCCAACAUCUUCUCGCACCACAAGCUUGUGAAAUACAGGGACGUGGGGAAGGCUAGGAAAGGGGAGGACUUUAACCCUAGCCAGGAACCUUUGGAUCCAGAGCUGGUGAUGAUAUCUGGUGGCGGGAGGACACAUGGCUCGAUAGCCAUUGGAGAUUGGAUAAUAUGUUGUCCACUCACUCUCCCGGAGAUCAAGGCGCGCCAGUCGAGCUCCUGUCCUGAGAUAACGCCUCGUCCGCGGCCAGUCGAUCUCACCAUCGAGGUUAGUUGUACGGACUCAGAAAACUUUCAUCCAUUUCAUUGUGUGUGUGGCCAUCGAUCAUUACAGUGGUAACGAGGAGUGGUUAUAGGCUUCUCUUUAGAAAGAGAGAGAGGAAAACCAGGCUACUCUUAAGAAAGAGAGAGCGGCAAACCAGGCUGCUCUUCACGGAUUUUGGAGGAGAGGGACAUGAUUACAGCUCGGUUGUUGGAGGAGGAGAGGGCCCGAAAUGAUGCAGGUCACCUAGCCAUGUACGAGCUUAUUGUGGUAAGUUUCUUUUUCACAUUAGUCAAAUCAUGCAUGUAAUUUCUGUUUCAUUACUAACUAAUGCAACCGACUCUUCAAAACCAAAUGUGCAGUCUAUGUGCGAGAAGACCGAUCAGCCCCCUCCGCUGAUGUUUGUCUUUUCCGCGAUUGGCACGGUGAGUUUCAUUUCAAUGGUCCUUAUAAACUAGUAUUAACAUUUGAGUAUCAUCAUGCUAACGAGACAUUGCAAAAUGUCUUUUCUACAGAAUAACUUCCGAGAGGCAUCGCACGACCCUUCUCCACGGCAACAGUCUCUAAACGCACCCGGGCCGAGCAACUUUGGUGCUUCUCCUUGAUGACCAUGACGGUAAGUUCUCGCUAGUUCAUUUAUCACAUAUGUAGCUUAUUUAGUUCAUUUAUGACAUAAUUAGCUAUUUUUUCAUUUAUGACAUAAUUAGCUUAGUUAGGUAAAAAACACAAGAACCUUGGUUAGCUCAUAACUUAGCUUUUCUUCCUCCUAAAUGACAUAAUAAUCUCAAAAUAAGAAAAGUAUUGUAAUCAUAAUCUUCAUCUUCCUCUCCUUCUUCUUCUUCUUCUUAUUAUUAUUCUUGUAAUCAUCCUCUUCUCCUUCUUCUUCUUCACCCUCCUCCUUCUUGUUCUUCUUCUUCUUCUUCUUCUUCUUCUUCUUCUUCUCCUUCUUCUUAUCCUCUUUCUUCUUCUCCUUAGCUUAGUUUCCCCAAGGAAUACAUACUUAGCUAAUUAUCCUCCAAAAUGACAUAAUUAGCUAAUUUAGUUCAUUUAUGACAUAAUUAACUUAGUUAGAUAAAAAAUCACAAGAACCUUGGUUAGCUCAUAACUUAGCGUAUCUUCCUCCUAAAUGACAUAAUAAGCUCAAAACAAGAAAAUAUUG